RNAcentral lists this long non-coding RNA (62322 nucleotides) under Gossypium barbadense (sea-island cotton). RNAcentral describes it as "long non-coding RNA (GBAR_LNC011371)". The stretch from base 10744 to 10850 matches the Rfam family "Plant small nucleolar RNA R71". The record is from RNAcentral. Lineage: Eukaryota; Viridiplantae; Streptophyta; Magnoliopsida; Malvales; Malvaceae.
UCAUCAAAAUAAGGUUUUAAAGGAGUACUAUUUACCUUAAAAGUGUCGAAUUUGGAAUAAGUUACCUCUACUGCACGGUAUGGAAAAAUGCUAAGUACCGUAAAAGGGAUUGCUCCAUUUGGUUCAGAAGUGGUAAUAUAAAGGUAUGCCGCAUCUAAUAGUACUUUGUCCCCAACCUUAAGUUGAUUUGAUAAAACAUUUAGUCCAUCAUGGCGUGGUUUUAGUUUAUGGUGUGUUCUCGGUUUCUGUGUAUAUCAUUCAUCUAGUUCCUCGAUCUGUAGCCUUCUCUCUUCAUAGAUGGGUCCUUUGUUGUUACUUGAACAUGGCUCAUGUAUGCUCUUCGAACAUGUUUCCUGCAAAGAAGGUUGCACCACAUGAUCAGAUUAGUAACAUUAUUUAUACAAACACCCUCAAUAUUCGAUGUGUUACUCGAAUUACGAGCAUGAAGAGUGAUUGUUUCAUCACCCACACGAAGUGUGAGUUCACCUGUACCAACAUCAAUAAUAGUUCUAGCAGUUGCUAAAAAGGGUCGUCCUAAAAUCAAAGGUACGUCACUAUCCUCUUCUAUGUCUAAAACAACAAAAUCAAUUGGGAAUAUAAAUUUGUCAAUUUUAACAAGUACAUCUUCAAUAAUACCCCUAGGAAAUCUAAUUGUUUUAUUUGUCAAUUGAAUGUGCAUCCUAGUUUGUUUGGGUUUCCCAAUACCUAGUUGUUUAAACAUUUUAUAGGGCAUGACAUUAAUACUAGCCUCUAAAUCAGCCAAAGCAUUGUUAAUGUUUAAACUGCCAAUUAAACAAGGAAUUGUAAAACUCCCUGGAUCUUUCAACUUUUUGGGUAGCUUAUUCUGUAGAAUGGCUAAGCAAACUGCAUUUAACUCCACAUGCGACGCCUCAUCCAACUUCCCCUUAUUUGCUAAAAGCUCCUUUAAAAAUUUAACUGCGUUUGGCAUCUGUGAAAGAGCUUCAGUAAACAGUAAGUUAAUAUGUAAUUUUUAUAAUAAUUUAAGGAAUUUACAAAAUUGUUCAUCUGUGUGGUCUUUCCUUGUCACUCUGGGAUAUGACAUACGAGGUUUGUACUCUUUACUUACCAAUUUUCGCUCACUGUGGUCCACCUCAUCCUUACCUUUACUUACCACAAUUUCUUGCCUCGAUUCUGGUUGAGGUUCAACUAACCCUUCUUUAUCUCAAACGGUAAUCGCAUUAAGCUAUUCCCUUGGGUUAGAUUCAGUGUUACUCGGCAAGCUACCUUGUGGUUGUUCAGAAAUCAGUUUAGCAAGCUGGCCUAUCUGAGUUUCGAGCCUUUGAUUGACACUUGUUGAUUCUUAAGUGUUGUUUCAGUAUUCUAAAAAUGAGUUCCCGACCUCGAGAUAAAUUUUGUUAGCAUCUCUUCAAGGUUCGGCUUCUUUUCCUGCUGGUAAGGUGGUUGUUGAAAACCUAGGGGAUGCAGUGGCCUUUGAUUUCCCUGGCCACCCCACGAGAAAUUGGGAUGGUUCCUCCAACCUGCAUUAUAAGUGUUACUGUAUGGGUUAUUUUGAGGUCUAGAAUUAUUGUUACCCAUAUAUUGAAAUUGUUCCUCCCCGGUGCUAAGGUUGAAAGAUUCAUAUUCUGUGUGUACUCCUCCUCCAUUUGAAUCGUACCUCAUCACUAGAUGUACCUGAGUAGAACAAUACAAAUCGUCAAUCUUUUUAUUUAAAAGAUCUACCUGGUUAGACAGUAUAGUAACCGCGUCGAGGUUGAAAACACUGGCUACUUUUGUCGGCUUUGUUCUCAUGACUUGCCACUGAUAGUUAUUCAAUGACAUCUCUUCAAUAAAUUCGUAAGCCUCUUCAGGUGUUUUGUUGUUCAAAGUUCCACCGGCGGCUGCGUCGAUAAUUUGCCUUGUUGAGGGGUUCACAGCAUUGUAAAAAGUCUGAACCUGCAGUCAUAAAGGUAACCCAUGGUGAGGGCACCUUCUUAAUAUGUCAUUGUAUCUCUCCCAUGUAUCAUACAGGGUUUCUAGAUCCAUCUGGACAAAAGAGGAGAUAUCAUUCCUUAGUUUAGUCAUUUUAGCCGACGUAAAAUAUUUUAGUAAAAAUUUUUAUGCCAUUUGCUCCCAAGUUGUGAUUGACCCUCGUGGUAACGAGUUCAACCACUACUUAGCCUUAUUCCUCAAUGAAAAGGGAAAUAACCGAAGGUGAAUGGCAUCGUCAAAAAUGCAAUUGAUCUUAAAGGUGUCGCAGAAUUCCAGAAAAUUUGCCAAAUGAGUGUUUGGAUCUUCGUCGUACAAACCACCAAACUGAACAAACUAUUGUAUAAUUUGAAUCGUGUUAGGUUUCAGUUUAAAAUUAUUUGCAGUAAUAGCAGGUCUAACUAUACUCGAUUCAGCUCCUGUUAAACUAGGUUAGCAUAAUCAUACAUAGUACGAGGAGCGGGAUCCUGAUUUACUCGGUUCGCAAUAGCCAUAAGAGGUAGCAGAUUAUUAUGAUUAUCCGCAAUCUCCUCGGUUGUGGUUUGAAUAUCAUCCUCUUGCCCUUCCUCUAUGUAUUGUAGGCUUUGUCUUAUUUUUCUUCGAUUUAUACGAGCUGUGCUUUCGACCUCACUAUAAAAAACUAGAGGUCCUGACAGGUUCCUUCUAGUCAUAAACUAUAAAAACCUGCCAGAAGUAAAUAAAAGAAAAUUUAGUAAUAUAAAAAAAUAAUAUUUAAAUUGCAAUAAAAUAAAUGGCUAAAGUAAUAAAAAUUAAGCGUUCCUAAUAUCUUAGUUCCCCGGCAAUGGCCCCAAAAACUUGUUAUGCGUGAUAAGUUUUAUAUUUAUGAUUGAUCGUACUUGAAAACUAACUAUUAUCACGAUAAAGGCAAGCGUACCUAUCGAACAGUAGUAUAGUUUAUAGCAAGAUCGAAAUAUCGAACCCACAAGAACUAAAAGUACUAGUAUUAACCUUCUUGUUAUUAUCUAGCCUAAAAAUAAGGGGAUUUGCUUUAUCUAAACUAAUUAACUAAAUUAAGAAUGCACAAGAAGUAAAUUGGGGAAAUACUUUUGGGAAAACUGAUUGAUUUAAACAAUACCCAAGGAAGAAUCCACCUAGACUUCACUUGAUAUUUGACUCUGAAAUAGACAAUUUAUUCACUUGACUCGAUCCAUAGAAAUCCUUAACCUUCUUUUUAUUAUCUAGCCUAAAAAUAAGGGGAUUUGCUUUAUCUAAACUAAUUAACUAAAUUAAGAAUGCACAGGAAGUAAAUUGGGGAAAUACUUUUGGGAAAACUGAUUGAUUUAAACAAUACCCAAGGAAGAACCCACCUAGACUUCACUUGAUAUUUGACUCUGAACUAGACGAUUUAUUCACUUGACUCGAUCCAUAGAAAUCCCUAAUUUAUAUUAUUAUCUCUCUCGAGACUACCAACGUCUAACCCUAGGUGGAUUAAUUGAAAUCUCUUUCUAAUUAAAACCCCUAGUGUUGCAUUAACUCGCUCUAUAGAUUCCCCUAUUAGGUUUGACCCUAAUCCGGCAGAUUUAUGUCGCCCUAUGUCUAGGGAUGCAAUCAACUCCACUUAAUUAUGCUAGAUCUACUCUUAGAAAGUGACUUUUUCUCCUCUGAAUAAGCACAUCAAUACUUGAAUCAAUAUCCUAGAAUAUUAAAGCAAAAAUUAAGAACACAUAAUUAAGAACAAAUCAAGUAUUUAUCAUAUAAUUCAGAAAACAGUAACAAGAUUCGUCUUAGGUUUCAUCCCUCUUAGGUAUUUAGGGGAUUUAGAUCAUAUGUGUAAAAGAAAACAUCUCAGAAGAAUAAUGAUAACAAAACAUAAAGAAAACUCAAAAACCCCUGAAGGAAAUUGAAGGGAGAUCUUCAAUCUUGAAGGAGAAUCCGACUUCUGAGAUGGAUUGACCGGCUUUUUUCGAGUAAUUCCUUGCCUCCUACUCCGUGUGUUCCUCUAGGUGCCUCCUCGGGUGUUUAUAUAGGCUUUAGAAUGCUUUAAAAACCUCAAAAGUGGCCUUUUCUGAGUAGAACUGGACUUGGGCUUGACAGGGACACGGCAGUGUGCCAUGCCCGUGUGGGGUGGUUUAGGCUAUGUUAAAGUCUGCUAAAUAGACACGGGCGUGUGGUGUGGCUUAGGCCAUGUUACAAUCUUUUAAAUAGACACGAGCGUGUGGUCUACCCGUGUAAGGAAGUCUAGGCCGUGUUAAUUUCCCACAUUGACCCAUUUUCUCCGUUUUUGGCUUGUUUCUUGCUCUUUUUAAUCUCCUAUGCUCACCUAAGUAUAAAAAAUGAAAUUAAAGGAUUAGGAGCAUCAAAUUCCACAAAUCUAAUGAUAAUUCAUCCGAAAAUGUACUAAUCAUGGGAUAAAAAUAUGUAUAAAUUACGACUUAUCAAAUACCCUCAUACUUAAGCGUUUGCUUGUCCUCAAGCAAAGUCCUCAAUUCACAAUUUAGAAUUCAUUUUUCUCAACUUAUAAUUCCUAUCAAUAAUAUCUCAAAAUAAUCCAUAAGUAAUCAUACAUUGAGAAUUCAACUAGAAGAACAUCAAAGUUUCAAACAUUCCAAGUUGAGCAUUUUAUCAGGAAAACAUAGGUGUCUCCCCUCAUCUAAGUAAUCACCUUUGAUUUAAAAUAUCACAGAAUUCAACAUCCUCACUAAAGAUUCACUCAAAUCACUCGAGGUGUUUAAGGACAACAAAUUUAGCACUCAUCAAUCAAUAUGAAAAGUUAUUACCAUAGGCUUGCAUGAAAAUCAAAUCUUCACCACUAUAUAUUAAGAUGAUACAUCAAUCAAAAGGUCUUUAGAGGGUUGUAACGUGGCUUUGGUUAGGGGGUGUGGUCACAAGCUGAAAGAGAAAGUUAGAAUCGAGAUUGAAUUGAAAAAUUACCUAACUAGAAAAAUACUAAAGCUGAAAAAUUACAUUCCUAAUUAGAUGAUCCUAGAAUUGAGCUUUUUUUCAUGGUUAACAUCGUUUUAAACCAAGCAUUACAUAAUUUCGUAAUAUGCUAGACGACAAAUCUCAAUUACAGCAACUUCGUUCGUUUUUUUUUUAAGAACAAAUCAAGUAACAUAGAACUUUGCUAACUAUCAAAAAUAAAACAUAGCUAAGAAAUUUAUUCAAAUCAAAUCUUGUCAAAAAUAGGGAUCAAAUUAAUUGAGGGGAUUUCAACAAUAAUGGGUUAUGGGUUAAUAUUGAGGGUAAAUCAAUGAAUGGCUUGUUAGGCUCAAGGAGGUUCACUAAGGGUUAAAUAUGAAGGUAGACUUUUAUAGAGUGAGUGGGUUAAACCUAAGUGUCUUUAUCAUCUCGAUAAAUCAAAUCAGUGGUGUGGUCUUGAAUGAAUAAUCGAAGCAAGUUCUAGAAUAACAAAUCAAUAUUGAUGCACUCAUAGCAACAAUGAAAGUGAGCAUGAAAGAAAUAAUAUAUGCUCUAAAGGCUCAAGAUCUCACAAAAAUUAUGGCUUUUUGAUUUUAAUCCUGUGAAUUUCAACUUCAAGAUAAUACCUAAACUUGGGGAAAUAACCUAAAAAAUUUUAAUUCUCAAAAAUCAACUUAUCAUGUUUGAUUCUCUAAUUCCUUAAAGUUUAAACAAUCAAUGCAUAAAUGCCUAUGUUUUGAAUUCAAGACAUAUCAAUAAAAAUCAUAAAUUAAUCAAAAUUCAUUCUAAUAGUGAUAUGAGUGAGUCACGUGAGAAUAAGACAAAAUUCAUGGAUUUUUCUGAUAAUGAUAUAAAUAACCCCCCACACUUAAGAUGUACAUUGUCCUCAAUGUACAAAAAUAGAUUUACUGAAAAAUAUAGAUAUAAGCUCAUAAGAUAGGGAGAGAAGUGAAACUUCCUGAAUGUUAAAUGGAAUCCUUGAAUUGGAGUCAUGAAAAGUAAUUGGCUAAGACAAGGGUGAGAUUGGAGGAGGAUACUCCCGUGGUGGUAGAGGUUGUUAGUCCACAAGUCCUGUGCUAAAAGAAUAUUAUAACUGGUGGUAGCUAUGGCCGUGGUCGAGCAGGGCAUGGCAGUCGUAGAGGACAUUUUCCAAUGGAGUUGCAAAUUCCUAAGUAAUAGUGAGCUUUGGAGCUCUUCACAACUGCGAUAGAAUCAUUAACUCUUUAGGAAAUAUAAAGUAGCAUGAUUACUCAUAAAGAAAUGGCCAAAAACAUAAAUUACAUAAUAUAAAUUGUAAAACCUAAAGAUAAAAAUAAAAAUAGUAUCAAAGAGAAAUAAAAUGAAAAGUAAUUUAAAAAGAUAAAUAAAGAUAAAAGUGAAAAUAAUAAUAAUAAAUAAUAAAUAAAAGUCUUCAAAAAUCCUCAUCGCCAGAUGGUUCGCGAGGUAGGGGUGGCGAUGAGAUGUGAAGGUGCUGACAAAUCUGAUGUAAGGUUGCAUCAAUGUGAUCGAAGCGCUAAAAACAUUGCUGCUCGAAUCGAGUAAGAUGCUCAGAGAUGUCAGAGAGUGAAGCAGUCGCAUGAACUGGAAGAUGAAUAGGUGGUGGCUGAGAUGGUGGAUCCUCGUGAGGUGGAGGGACAUCAUCAGUAAUGUCCUCUGGGUCUUCCUACUCAACUGACUGGACGAGGCGGUACUGAGGAGGAUCAAAUCCACGUCGCCGCUCGAUCAUCCUCUUUUGGAUCAUACUCGAGAUGCCCUGUGGGGACAUCUGAUCGAUGAGGGUGAGGGAGGAUGAUUGUGGUGCCGUGUUGAGGAGACCAAAGUACCAUGAUAGAAAUGUCUCCCUACUUAUGCCGCUUUGUCUGAUGGCGAAUGGCGAGGGUGAUGAAAUAAGCGAGGUCGAAUACGUGCCCAUAAGCCAUGCUCCAUAAAAAAUAAGUGUCGUUAGUGCUGACGGCACUGGUACUCUCUUACCGUUCUGUUAGGGUGUGGGCUAGGAUGGCGUGUAAGUAUCUCAGUGAUGGUGCGAGAGCUAAUGCCUUGGAGCGACUAGGGUCAUAAGUGGUCGAAGCAGGGACUAGGGUUUUCCAACAAUUUGAAGGAGAAUAGUGGAUGUGACGAUGGAGACUGUCGAAGUCGUCGUCGUCCAUGAACUCCUCCGUAUAGAGUCCUAAUACGGCAUCGAACUCAGGCACGUUCAACUGGUGAACUAAACCGCUGAGACGGAACUGGACUGUUUCGAGAUCAUCAAACUCUGUCAUAAUGGUUUGAAAGUGGAAGGUCGAACAGAGUUCUAAUGUGAGAUCGAGAUAUGUCGGCUCGACGAUCUCAAAAAAGAGCCCCUAUGGAUUAGUAGUCAGGAGAGCUCGGACUGCGUCAGCGAGUUGGAUCUGCUCUAGAGCAGUCCAAUCAAUACAUCGGCCUGCGCUGAUGGGUCUUGCACGGAGUAUUUAAAAAAGUUCCUAUUGGGGUCCCAAGGGAAACUAUAAGAAGGGGUGGCGCACUUCGGCAGAUGCGAUUGCUGACAUGGCUCCAGAUCCCUUCCGUUUUUUUGAAGCGAAGGCGGCGGUUUUCUUACCACGUGGAUUUGAAAUAGUGUGCCUAUGUAUAAAAGAGUAAGUCAUCAAUAAUAAUUCCUACAUCUGCAAGCAAAGUCUAAGUAAUCCAAAAAUAAUAACUUGCUCAUAAGAUAAUAUGGACACAAAUUCAAGCAUGCUAAAAACAAAACGUGGUGAUAUUUCAUAUGAAUCAACGGGCUAAAUAUAAGAUGGACAGAGUACUAAGGCUAAACCAAGCGAAUGCUAAAGGACCAAUCAAGUGAUAGUGGAUAAUACUAUUAAUAAUCCUAAUCACGUGGGCAAAUCAAACAAGAGUAAAGAUCAAUGAAAUGACUAAGUAAAUCUUUAUCAUUAGUAAAGUUGGAAAUCACUAAACAUAGAUAAGCAUGCAAAUUAUUAACAAUGAAAACAAUUAUAAGUCAAGAAAUCAAUAAAAGAAGUAAAAUAAAAAGUAAUGGGGUGAAAGGGAAACAAACGACUGAUGAACGAUGGUGGUGCUUGACGGAAGAGGGGUGCGGUGUCGACGUGUCGCAGAUGACGGCGGUGGUGGUACUGGUGCGACAGUGGGGUGUGGGAUAAGUGAAGUAAGGAAGAAGAAGAUGGGAAUGUGUAGGGAAUGAAGGACAAGAGAGAAGAUUUUGAUGUGUAUAGAAGAAAAAGGGAAAAGAAAUGGUGGAUUUUGGGAGCUUAGGUAGUGACGGCAGCGGAGAGGCUGGCGGCUAGGGUUAAGGUAUUGGGGAAGGGGAUGAUGAAUAGUGGGGGUUUAUACAGAUUUUGGGGCACACGGCCAUGGGGCACGCCUGUGUGCCCUUAUUUCAGCCCGUGUGUUUCGUGGUUUUCGAAUUGGGGCGCGUCUGGAAUUCGGCCCAUGCCCGUGUGCUUUGGGCGUGUUGGUGCACACGAUCGUGUCGCACGGCAGUGUCCUGCUUCGUUUGCUUCUCCCAUGCCCGUGCACAAAUGCGCACGCCCAUGUUAUUUUCACAGUUUCAACCACGGUUGGUAGGCACGGGCAUGUCGCACGCCCGUGUUAAUUUCUCAGUUUCUACCAAGGAUUAUAGACACGGACGGGUCGCACGCCCAUGUUGAUUUGGUAGGAUUGCUCACGGCCAUGUCGCACAGCUAUGGCAACAUAUCGAAUCCCGUGUUUUGGGAAAAAUUUCGCUCUGUUUCCACACGGCCGUGUCGCCGCCCGUUGUAUAAGCACGGCCUUAGGCACGCCCGUGUGCCUGGCCGCGUGGGUUUGGAAAACCUGUGUUCAAGGACUCAGUUAAUGCUUUAGAUGUUAAAAACUAAAAUUUAAAGAAAUCAAUACUGUUGUGCUCGGGUUGCCUCCCCAGAAGCGUUUAUUUAGAGUCUAAGCUCGACUUACCUCUUUGUUCGUGGUCAUGGUGGUGCGAGGAGUUUACACUCCUCAUUCCUACUAUCGAUUUCAUCGAAAUAAGGUUUUAGACGAGUAUUAUUUACCUUAAAGUGUCGAAUUUGGACUGAGUUAUCUCGACUGUACCGCAUGGGAAAAUACUAAGUACCGUAAAAGGGAUUGCUCUAUUUGGUUCAAAAGUGGUAAUAUGAGGGUCUGCCGCAUCUAAUAGUACUUUGUCCCCAACCUUAAGUUGAUUUGAUAAAACAUUUAGUCCGUCAUGGCGUGGUUCUGGUUUAUCGUGUGUUCUUGGUUUCUGUGUACGUCAUUCAUCUAGUUCCUCGAUCUGUAGCCUUCUCUCUUCAUAGAUGGGUCAUUUGUUGUUACUUGAACAUGGCUCAUGUAUGCUCUUCGAACGUGUUUCCUGCAAAGAAGGUUGCACCCCAUGAUCAGUAUUAGUAACAUUAUUUAUACAACCACCCUCAAUAUUCGAUGUGUUACUCGAACUACAAGCUUGAAGAGUGAUUGUUUCAUCACCCACAUGAAGUGUGAGUUCACCUGUACCAACAUCAAUAAUAGUUCUAGCAGUUGCUAAAAAGGGUCAUCCUAAAAUCAAAGGUACGUCACUAGCCUCUUCUAUGUCUAAAACAACAAAAUCAAUUGGGAAUAUAAAUUUGUCAAUUUUAACAAGUACAUCUUCAAUAAUACCCCUAGGAAUCUAAUUGUUUUUUUCUUCCAAUUGAAUGCUCAUCCUAGUUUGAUUGGGUUUCCCAAGACCUAGUUCUUUAAACAUUUUAUAGGGCAUGACAUUAAUACUAGCCCCUAAAUCAGCCAAAGCAUUGUUAACAUUUAAACUACCAAAUUAAACAAUGAAUUGUAAAGCUCCCUGGAUCUUUCAACUUGUUGGGUAGCAUAUUCUAUAGAAUGGCUAAGCAAACUGCAUUUAGCUCCACAUGCGACGCCUCAUCCAACUUUCCCUUAUUUGCUAAAAGCUCCUUUAAAAAUUUAACUACGUUUGGCAUCUGCAAAAGAGCUUCAAUAAACGGUAAGUUAGUAUGUAAUUUCUUUAAUAAUUUAAGGAAUUUACAAAAUUGUUCGUUCGUAUGGUCUUUCCUUGUCGCUCUGGGGUAUGGCACUCGGGGUUUGUACUUUUUACUUAUCAGUUUUCGCUCAGUGUGGUCCACCUCAUCCUUACCUUUACUUACCAUAAUUCCUUGUCUCGGUUCUGGUUCAAGUUCAACUAACCCUUUUUUAUUUCGAACGGUAAUCGCAUUAAGCUGUUCUCUUAGGUUAGAUUCAGUGUUACUCGGCAAGCUACCUUGUGGUCGUUCAGAAAUCAAUUUAGCAAGCUGGCCUAUCUGAGUUUCAAGCCCUUGGAUCGACACUUGUUGAUUCUUAAGUGCUGUUUCGGUAUUCUGAAAAUGGGUUUCUGACAUCGAGAUAAAUUUUGUUGGCAUCUCUUCAAGGUUCGGCUUCUUUUCCUGCUGGUAAGGUGGUUGUUGAAAACUUGAGGGAUGCUGUGGCCUUUGAUUUCCCUGGCCACCCCACGAGAAGUUGGGAUGGUUCCUCCAACCUACAUUAUAAGUUUUACUGUAUUGGUUAUUUUAAGGUCUAGAAUUAUUGUUACCCAUAUAUUAAACUUGUUCCUCCUCGGUGCUAGGGUUGAAGGAUUGAUAUUCUGUGUGUACUCCUCCUCCAUUUGAAUCGCAGCUCAUCACUGGAUGUACCUAAGUAGAACCAUACAAACCGUCAAUCUUUUUAUUUAAAAGUUCUACCUGGUUAGACUGCAUAGUAACUGCAUCGAGGUUGAAAACACCGGCUGCUUUUUUCGGCUUUGUUCUCAUGACUUGCUACUGAUAGUUAUUCAGUGACAUCUCUUCAAUAAAUUCGUAAGCCUCUUCAGGUGUUUUGUUGUUCAAAGUUCCACUGGCGGCUGCAUCGAUAAGUUGCCUUGUUGAGGGGUUCACACCGUUGUAAAAAGUCUGAACCUGUAGCCAUAGAGGUAACCCAUGGUGAGGGCACCUUCUUAAUAGGUCCUUGUAUCUCCCCUAUGCAUCAUACAGGGUUUCUAGAUCCAUCUGCACAAAACAGGAGAUAUCUUUCCUUAGUUUAGCCGUUUUAACUGCCGGAAAAUAUUUUAGUAAAAAUUUUUUGGUCAUUUGCUCCCAAGUUGUGAUUGACCCUCGUGGUAAUGAGUUCAACCACUGUUUAGCCUUAUUCCUCAAUGAAAAGUGAAAUAACCGAAGGCGAAUGGCAUCAUCAGAAAUGCCAUUAAUCUUAAAGUUGUCGUAAAAUUCCAGAAAAUUUACCAAAUGAGUGUUUGGAUCCUCGUCCUGCAAACCAUCAAACUGAACAAACUGUUGUAUCAUUUGAAUCAUGUUAGGUUUCAGUUCAAAAUUAUUUGCAACAAUAGUAGGUCUAGCUAUACUCGAUUCAGCUCCUAUUAAACUAGGGUUAGCAUAAUCACACAUAGUACGAGGAGUAGGAUCCUGAUUUACUUGGUUCGCAAUAGCCAGAGGAGGUAGCAGAUUAUUAUGAUUAUCCGCAAUCUCCUCAGUUGUGGUUUGAAUAUCGUCAUCUUGCCCUUCCUCUCUGUAUUAUAGGCUUCGCCUUAUCUCUUUUUAGUUUCUGCGAGCUGUGCUUUCGAUCUCACUAUCAAAAAGUAGAGGUCAUGACGGGUUCCCUCUAGUCAUAAACUAUAAAAACGUGCCAGAAGUAAAUAAAAGAAAAUUUAGUAAUAUAAACAAAAUAAAAUUUAAAUUGCAAUAAAAUAAAUGGCUAAAGUAAUAUAAAUUAAGCGUUCCUAAUAUCUUAGUUCCCCAGCAACGACCCCAAAAACUUGAUGUGUGUAAUAUCCUGAUUUUGGGCCUAGUCGGAAUAGUGGUUUCGUGACCACAAAAUCCUAGAUAGAAAUAAUGAUUUUAUGAUUAUUUUGAGGUCUAUGAUAUGAUUUCAUGAUUGUGUGAAAAUUUCGUGAAGAAAUUUUAUGCAUAAAGUGCUUAAAUUGAAAUUAGGGACUAAAUCGAAUAAUUUGCAAAACUUGCAUUCUAGAAGUUUCUAGUAUCAAAUUGUUUUGAAAUAUUAAUUAGGAGGUCUUAAAUAGCAAUUUUACCAAUUUAUAAGUCUAUGGACAAAAAUUGGACAUGGAUGGAAUUUUUGGAAAGUUUAGUAGUAAGGGCAUUUUGGUCACUUAGGGGUAAAAUGAAUUAAAAUACAAAAUUAAAAGCCAAUUUUGCUCAUCUUCAACCCCAUGGCCGAAUAUACCAAGGGAGACUCCAUGGCUAGGGUUUUCAAGCUUCCCAAGCUCAAUUGUAAGUCCGUUCUAACCCCGUUUUUCAAGUUCUUUACAUUUUUGGAGUCCCGGUAACUUGAUUUAGCUUAUGCUAGCAGUAAUUCAACCUAGGGUUCAUAUUUGGAAAAAUACCCAUAGGUAAAAUUUUUGUAUUCUGGUGUUUUAUGAUACAAUAUGAGGUUUUAAAUUAUGUUAGACGACUUGUACUACUCGGUUUUAAGCAAAAACGAGCAAAAGGGCUUAAUUGGUAAAAAUACCUAAUAGUCAUAAGUACAUGUUAGAGUGAGAAUUUGAUGUUUCCAUAGAAGGGAAAAAUGAUCAGCAUGUCAUAAAACAUAAGAAAAUAGGCUGAAGUUUAAUUUACGAGCUUUGAGGCAAAAGUGUAAAUAUGCAAAAGUUUAGGGGCAAAUGAUUUUGGGUCAAUUUGAAUAAUGUGAUUCCUAAUUAGACUAUAUUUUAAAUGAUAGAGCAAGGAAAACUAAAAUUCGGGCUAAAAUGGAAAAAUACCAACUUGUGGACGAAAUGGUAAAAGUAGCCAUUUUCGCAUACGAGGUAAGUUCAUAUGUAAAUGUUGGUGACAUAGUUAUUAUUUUAAAUGUUUUAAUGUUAUUUAAAUGAUAUGAUAAUUAUUAUGAAAUAUUAUACUGUGAUAAUUGUUUGUUAAUAUGUCAAAUUAUGUGAUAUACUUGGAAAAUGUGAAAUACUACCGAGUAUCGGUAACGGCAUUCCGUAGAAGAUGGUUGAGACACAUGAUUGGGAAAAAGGUCCCGUUGAACCUUAGGAAUGGAUUAGGAUACAAGUGACAUAUCACUAGGAUGUUUGGGCAUCCGAACUCGUUGAGUGGAGUCCGAGUUCACUUAUGGAUGCGAAUGUCCGAACUCGUUGAGUUGAGUCCGAUUUUGAGAGAUGUAACUAGGCAUCCGAGCUCGUUGAGUUGAGUCCAAGUUCACUUAUGGAUGAGAACGCCCGAGCUCGUUGAGUUGAGUCCGAGUUCAUUUAUGGGCGGGUUACAUGGUAGCUUGGCUACAUAUGUGGCACUUAUGUGCAAACUUUCCAUGUAUCCGAAUUAUAUUCCGAUGUGUUCAACGGGUAAAAUUCUACUCAAAUGGAGGAAUAAUCAAGAUGAAAGGGACGUAUUGGUAAGUGUUGUGAAAUGAAUACUUUGAACAUAUAUGUACUUAACCCUCGGGUUGAAAACUCGAUAUAACAACAAUAUGGUAAAAUGAUAAGUGAAAAUGUGAUAUGAAUGUCUCGGUGAUGAUUAUGCAAAUGAUGUUUUAUGUUUGCUUAUAUAGUUGUGUUACUUGCUAUUUGCAUGUGAGCUUACUAAGCAUUUAUGCUUACUUUCUCAUUUUCAUUCCUUGUAGUGUUGACAAGCCAGCUCGGAAAUCGGGAACGGUCGGAGGCAUGCUCACACUAUUUAUAUACCAUCUUGGCAUAAUGGCUUGCAUAUUUUGAGUAUGGCAUGUAUAGCAUUAUAAUCAUUUUGUAUAUAUGGUUUUAUGAUAUGGUUAUUGAGUGGUAUGGAAAUGCUUGGUAAUGAUUAGCCAUUCAUGAUCAUAUUUGGUGUUAUGUAUGCUAAAUUGCUAGCUAAUUCAUGGAAACCAUGAAAUAGGUAAAAUUUACCAUAAAAUAGAUUCAGACAGCAGCAGUGACGUGAGUUUGAAAAAUUAUUAAAAAUAGUAGACAUACAAUUAGAUGAUGAAUAAAUAUGGAAUUCAAUAAUUAUGAGUCUAUUUUCAUAUGGAUGGAACAAAAUAGGUAUAUGAGUUAUAUUUUAUGAAAUGUUUAAUUUUUUGUGAGACAGGGCCAGAGCGAUUUCUGGAUACCCUGUUCUGAAUUUGAAAAUUCACCAUAAACUGUUCAAAGAUAAUUAGAAGUCAUGAUUUAUAUGUACAGAUUCCUUAUUGAGUCUAGUUUUAUUAGAAAUAAACGGCAUAGUCAUUGAAGCUCUGUACAGGGAGAUAUCUGAUUUGUAAUACACAGAGGUUAGAGUAGUCGAACCCUGAAACAGGGGAGACUUUAACUAAUAAACUGUACUAAUUGGCCCGACCAAAAAUUAUAGAAAAAAAUUAAUAGAUAGAUAUAUGAGUCUAGUUUCAGUAAAAAUUUACAGAAUUGGAUUUUGAGUUUCGGAACUCGAGAUAUGAUUUUUAAAGAGACUGUGAUGCAGUUAGUCAGCUUGUCUAGAAAUUUUAAAAUGAAUUGUAUGAGCUGUUUAAGUAAUGAAUUAAGUCUGUUAACACCUCGUGUUCGACUCCGAAAACGGUCUCGGGUACGGGGUGUUACAAUGUGCAUGAGAAGUUUUAUAUUUAUGAUUGAUCAUACUUGAAAACUAAAUAUAAUCACGAUAAAGGCAAGCGCACCUAUCGAACAGUAGUAUAGCUUAUAGCAAGACCGAAAUGUCGAACCCACAAGAACUAAAAGUACUAGUAUUAACCUUCUUUUUAUUAUCUAGCCUUAAAAUAAAGGGAUUUGCUUUAUCUAAACUAAUUAACUAAACUAAGAAUGAACAGGAAGUAAAUUGGGGAAAUACUUUUGGGAAAACUAAUUGAUUUAGACAAUACCCAAGGAAGAAUCCACCUAGACUUCACUUGUUAUUUGACUCUAAACUAAACUAUUUAUUCACUUGACUCGAUCCAUAGAAAUCCCUAAUUUAUAUUAUUAUCUCUCUCAAGACUAACAACGUCUAACCCUAGGUUGAUUAAUUGAAAUCUCUUUCUAAUUAAAACCCCUAGUGUUGCAUUAUUUCACUUUAUAGAUUUCCUUAUUAGGUUUGACCCUAAUCCGGCAGAUUUAUGUCACCCUAUGUCUAAGGAUCCAAUCAACUCCGCUUAAUUAUGCUAGAUCUACUCUUAGACAGGGACUUUUGCUCCUCUGAAUAAGCACAUCAAUACUUGAAUCAAUAUCUUGGAAUAUUAAAGAAAGAAUUAAGAACACAUAAUUAAGAACAAAUCAAGUAUUUAUUAUAUAAUUCAGAAAAUAGUAACAAGAUCCUCUUAGGUUUCAUCCCCCUUAAGUAUUUAGGGGAUUUAGUUCAUAUGUGUAAAAGAAAACAUCUCUGAAGAAUAAUGAUAACAAAACAUAAAGAAAACCCAAAAACCCCUGAAGGAAAUUGAAGGGAGAUCUUCAGUCUUGAAGGAGAAUCCGGCUUCUGAGAUGGAUCGAUGGGCUUUCUUCGAGUAAUUCCUUGCCUCCUACUUCGUGUGUUCCUUUAGGUGCCUCAUCGGGUGUUUAUAUAGGCUUUAGAAUGCUUCAAAACCCUCAAAAGUGGUCUUUUCCGAGUAGAACUAGACUUGGGCUCGACAAGGACACAGCCGUGUGCCACGCCCGUGUGGGGUGGUUUAGGCCGGGUUAAAGUCUGCUAAAUAGAAACGGGCGUGUGGUGUGGCUUAGGCCGUGUUACAAUCUAUUAAAUAGACAUGGGCAUGUGGUCUACCCGUAUGAGGAAGUCCCGGCCGUUUUGAUUUCCCACAUUGACCCAUUUUCUACGGUUUUGGCCCGUUUCUCGCUCUUUUUACUCUUCUAUGCUCACCUAAGUAUAAAAAAUGAAAUUAAAGGAUUAGGAGCAUUAAAUUCCACAAAUCUAAUGACAAUUCAUCCAAAAAUGUGCUAAGCAUAGGAUAAAAAUAUGUAUAAAUUACAACUUAUCAUACGUAUUAUAAAAAUAGAUAUAACCUAGUAUGAGUUUUUUUUCGUAUUAAGUUUAUAUAAGUUUUUAUAGUUAAAGCUACAGACUAUUUGGAUUGUGAUUUCAGAUAUUAUAAUGUCGAUACUAAUUAUGAAAAUAGAAAAUGUUUUCUUACAUCCGUUCGUGAGGCAUGAUAUCAUUUGAGAGAAUGGUGCUAGACACAAGCAUAACAAACAGUUGGCGAACUCUUUUAUUUGAAGCAUUCAAGGCUUCAAAAUGUGGUUGAGAAGACAUUUGUUCUAAAAAAUUAUUUCUCAUAUUAACAACAUCACCUUUGUAUAACAUAAAAAAAAUUAGACCAUACUAGCAUGUUGCAUAUUUCAUAACUUCAAUCAUAGGUGGAAAUGAGAGAUCCAUACUUCAAAGAGUUCAUGGAAGAAGAAGAUCUUGAUAAUCUUAAUUAUGCAGAUUCAAAUUUAGAUAAUGAUGAGCUCAGUCAAAGACCAACAGAUGAUGAUAAGAAGAAUAUGCUAAAUAUUAAAGAGGAAAUAGAGAGGAAAUAACUUUAUAAAAUGAACAAGAAGAAUUAAAUAAAAUUGCACAUGGUUUAUUUUUCUAGUUUUUUUGUUAAUAAUCAUAUUAUCAACUACUUUUUCAGACUAACACAAUACAUAUGAUUAUUUGAUUUUAAUUUUUGUUACUUUUUUAUAAAUUAAUUUUAUCAUACUAAUAAAUUUUAUAGUAAUUAAUAUUUUUUAAAAAUGAAAUUUAUGUAACUCUAUAGUUAAAAUUUGUACUACCAAACAUUACAUAAAGAAUUACGAUGUAAUUACUCUCUGUCACCCAAACAUGUCUAGGAAAUUACAAUUCAUUGUAAAUACAAGAGAGUGUAAUUAUUAUCUUACUAAUUACAUUUUCAUUCAAUUAUUUUGCGAUGUCCAAACAAACUCUAAUUGUAUACAUAUUAAUAUCUAUUAAUAAUGUUGUUGAUUGAGUUGGUGUCACAAAUUAACUCAACAUCAACUUAAUAUUGACGAGAACACCAUGUUAAACAAUUGUAAUCAUUUAGUAUUCUUAGUACGAUGUAUUUAUAUGUUUAAAUUUCAUUUUACUUACAAUUUGAUCUAAUUUUUUGUUAAUAUGAUGUAUUUCUGUGUUUAACUUUUUUUUACUCAUGAUUUAAUCUAAUUUUUUAUUUUAAUAUAGUACAUAUUUCAUGUGCUAUUAUGAUUACUUAGUUUCAAACCAUAUGUUUCAUUGUUUAUUGUAUGUUAUUUUUAAACAAAUAUUUGUGUUCUAAUCCGUGGUUUCCAUACACAUACAUGUGUGAUAAAAUUUUUAGUAAGAACCUAUAAGGUUUGAGCGGAUUUUUUUUUUUAAGAAUUGAGCGAAUUGUUGAAUUUAUAUCAUUUUGUAAUAUUCUUUUAAACCAAAAAAGAAAGGGUAGACUACACUCAAGAUCACUAAACUACUAAUAAAUUUACGUUUUGAUGACUCAACUUCAAAAAGUUACAAAAUGGUUAUUAAACUAUUCAAAAAUUUUCAUGUCAUUGAAUUAUUUGAACCUUUUUAUUUAAACCAUUGAGUUGUUAAGGUUUUUUUCUAAAGUCUGACUAGCGAGCUCCAAGCAACAAUUCAAUGAUAGGAACAAUGGAUCAGUACCCUUACUUAGAUCCAAGUCGAUCUGACAAUCAAUAUCGAAGAUCGAAAAAGAAAUUUGAUUGGAUUAUGGUUCAUAGAUUUGUGAUGUUUAAAGUUUUUCAUGAAAAAAACUAAAUUGUAAAAAGGGAGGGGAAUGAAACCUUUUGAUCAGUGUAAGCAGUGCAAAUAGAGAAGGCCAUACAACAAAAUAUUAAUAAUCCAUUAACUUGAAUGAAAAUUUUUUGUAUAAUUCAAUGAUCAUCUUAUAACUUUCUGAAGCUGAGUGACCAAAAUAUAAAUCUAUUAAUAGUUUAGUGAUUUUAGUGUAGUUUACCUAGAAAAGGAAAAGAAAUGGCGGCAUAGCUUUGUUUUUCUUAACUUGUCUGCCGCUGCUAGAUGCCUACUCUUGAUAGGGCUAUUAGGAGUGAGGCGUGGCUCAAUUCAUUUCCAAAUUAUUUCGUGACCCACUUGCCUAGACUCAAGUCUAAUCACAAGCCUAUCUUUCUUUUGCUUCGAUCUGAGCUUUAUCCUUCUAGGGGUCGUCGUUUUCGUUUCUUGGCGGGAUGGAUUAAGCAUACAGAUUUUGAAGAAUAAUUGGAAUUUUGCUGGUUUUAUGUCUAGCUCACUUUCUAAUUUCACAAGCCAACUUAAGAAGUAGAAUAAAGAGGUAUACAGCCAUGUUGGGCUACGAAAAAGAGUCUGAUUCAGAAACUUCAUUUGAUUUAGAGUAGGUUGAAUUAUUCUCAGUCUGACCAUUUAUUUUAGUUGGAAUUAUAGACUAGAGAGGAAUUGGAAAAUGUACUGUAUCAUGAGGAGCUUAUUUGGAAACAAAAGGCGAGGUGGGAUUGGAUUUCUCUGAGAGAUUGUAAUACUAAAUUCCUUUAUAGGUGCACCCUUAAAAGGAGAAAGUAUAAUCAGAUUACGGCUUUAAAAAUGAGGAAGGAGAGUGGAUUUUUUAUGAUGGGGAUCUACGUCAAGAGGCGUCAUGUUUUUUCAAAAAUUUAUAUGGAGAAGACUCGGGGCCGAUCAGAAGUCUUCCUACUAGUUCUUUUCUGAAGCUUGAAGAUGAUGAGAUCCAAAUGUUAAGCAAACCAGUUUCAACUGAGGAAAUAAAAUCUGCCCUGUUUGAUAUAGUCCUCUAAAGGUGCCGGGGAGUGAUGGAUUACAUGCCCUCUUCUUUUAGAGUUAGCGGGAGCAGAUUGGGGAUUUUGUUUGUACCUAGGUCAAGAAUUUUUUUUUAUGGUUAAACGAUCAAUCCAGAGCUAAAUAAUACUCUUUUAGUCCACAUUCAAAAUCCCAAAUCCAGAAUGUUUUCCCAAUUUUUAUCAAUCAGCCUUUGUUCAGUUCUUUACAAGUUGGUAAUGGAAAUUAUUAUCAAUAGUUUCAAGCUAGUAUUUUCAAUAAUUAUUGGUCAAGAAUAGACUGGGUUUAUUGAGUAAAGGAGUACUAUGGAUAAUAUUGUAACACCCCUAACCCUUGUCUGAUGUCGAAACAAGUUACGAAGCAUUACCGGACUUAUAAAUCAAACAAUCAUACGUUUCAUGACCAAUUCUCUAACAAAUUAAAAUCCAUUCAUAAACAUUCAUAUAGUCCCUAAUACGAGCCCUGAUGUCGAAACAAGUUACGAAGCAUUACCGGACUUAUAAAUCAAACAAUCAUACGUUUCAUGACCAAUUCUCUAACAAAUUAAAAUCCAUUCAUAAACAUUCAUAUAGUCCUUAAUACGAGCCCUCGAGGCCCCAAAUAGACAUUAAAAAUAGUUCGAGACUAGACCGAGUACUCAAGAAAUUUUUAGAAAAACAUUGAAAUUUUUCAAAGUGCAAGGGACACACGCCCAUGUGGCCAAGCCAUGUGUCUCACACGACCAAGAGACACGCCCAUGUCUCAGGCCAUGUGGGCAUUCGAAAUAGGGACACACGGUCGUGUCCCAGCCGUGUCCGACCCCAUGUAACUCAAUGAGUUGGGUCAUACGACCAACCCACACACCCGUGUGCCAGGCCGUGUGCUAGGCCUUGUGAAGUUACUGACUUGAUUUUUAAAGAAGUUGUGUCACUAGAACGAUAGAAAUGUGCAAGUGUACACAAUCGCAACAAGUAAUAAAGUGACAAGUAAAUGUCGAGUUAUCAUACCCAUAGGGACUGUGAAAAAAUUUAUUUAUGAAAUUAAUUUAAAAACACUUUGGUGAAGGAAAAUAUUUUGAUUUGAGGAGGUGAUUAAAAACUAGGAUUUUAGCUAAGUAAAAUAAAUAAAAAUGAAAUAAAAGUUUCAAUGCACUAUUUCAAAAGAUGAUUAAUUUUAAUCUAAAUGACUUAAUUAUGCUAGAUUAAUUGCAUUUCUUAACUUAGAAUUAUUAAACUCAUGUUCAUGUUGUUACGAAUAAAUUCACGGCAACUCGGUAAUUUUCUAACCUAUGAACAUACUUACCUACCAAAAUUCAUUUAUCUCUUAACUAUAUCUCUAUGUCAAUUCAACCGAUUAAACAAAUUCUAAUAAGCAAAUGUGUUAAUGUACAUACAUACUUAUGAACUUAAAAUAAUCUCUUAUACAUAUCUCUAUGCCAAUUCAAAAAAUUAAUUCAAUCUCAUAAGCACAUAAAAGAUUACGUGACGUAACAAUGUAUUUCUACCUUGAAACAGUUUAAUCACAAUAAUCUUGCAAGUUAUGCAAAGCUAAUGUAUGCCUAGAUACCGUUGUUAAUUUAACCCUCAGCUACCUUAGAUGAUUAAACAUGCAAUGAUUAAGUAUCGUGUCAAUUAAUUACAAUUUCAAUUUUUUUAAAUAAUUAAUUCAUUAGUUUCCUUACAAUAGUAAUGCAAGAAUAACUUAGUCAUGGUUUUACUUAAUCAAACAUCUUACUGAGGCCUAUAACAACACAAACAUAAUUUUAAUAAAUUAAAUAGACAAAAUGCAAUCAACCUAACACGAAUUAAAUUUAAGCCUAUUAAUUAAGUUGAACAUAUCGAAAUCACAAAUAUUCAUAGACAUGUUCAUUAUAACAACAAAAAAAUUAAAAGGAUAGGGAACAAGAAUCAAAUCAAGUGUUUUCUCCGUGGCUUGACUAGUUUGCUCCACUCCUCCUUCUCCACUUGUUCUUGUCGAACCGAGGCUUCUACGAACACUUGAAUGCUACUCCAAAUGUUGGUUGAUUGAAUCUUUUUCAAGAGGUGAAAUCAGCAAGGGAAUAGGGGAAGAGAGUGAAAAAAAUAGAAGGGAAUGAAGAGAGAAAAAUGAGAGAGAAGUGAAGAGAUGAGAAGGGUUGAGAUGUUGUGCUUGAAGUGAGCAGCAAAUGGGGUAUUUAUAGGUUGAGAUGGCUGCUAAAAUUAGCAAAAAUCAGCAGCCAUAGAGUCCCCCCAUGGCCGGCCACACAUGUGGCAAGUUUGAAGAAUUCAAACUUGCUAUUUUAAGGUAGGGGCAAAUCUAGAAAGGCACAAAUAGUGAAGCGGUUUGAAUGCAAUUUGAAGGAGUCUUCAAGGGCCAUUUUGCAAGUUAAAUAAUCAGCCAAGCAAGCUGAUUGGGUCAGCAUGUCGAACGAUUUUGGGCUGCCCAGUGCUAGGUUGGAUCUGUUUUCUCAGUUCAUAUAACGCCCCUCACCCAUAUUCAACACAAAAAUAGGGUUACAGAGCAUUACCUGUAACACCCCACACCCAAGUCCUACAUCGGGAUGGGACACGAGACGUUACCACACUUAAACACAUGCAUUCCAACGUUUUUGAAUCAUCAAGACUUAAUCAAAUUUAAAACUUUAACUAAACUCCUUAACAAAGGCCUACAAGGCCUUAAACGUCCAUUGGGAAUCACUCGAGACCGUCUCGGGUUCUUGACCGACUGAAAAAAAUUUACCCUUGAAAUAGGGAACACGCCCGUGUGUUCAUUUUGACACGGUCGUGUUGAUGGCCCGUGUGACACACAUGGCCUAAGCCUCUAGGGACACGCUUGUGUCCCACGCCCGUGUGAAUUAAAUUCUAAAUUCUAACCUAUAAGGGUUUUCACACGGCCUGACACAUGCCCGUGUUUAUAGCCCGUGUCUCUCACACGGCCAUGACACGCCCAUGUCCUAGCCCAUGUCUAAAAACCUUGACAUUCUGUUUCUGACGUCAGCAUCCAAUAAGGGGCACAUGGCCAAGGCACAUGCCCGUGGCCAAAGGCCGUGUGCUCCACACGGCUGAGACACAUAGCCGUGUCUCUACCCGUAUGUUUACUACCAUGCAUUCUGACUUGAAAUUUUUACGUGCAGAGGACAUACGGCAGGACAACACGCCCGUGUGUCUACCCGUGUGAACAAAAUAAGGCUAUUUACCAAGCCUCUUUGCCACCCUUACUAACACUAACCUACACAAGAUCAACCAAACCAAUACAAGCAUAAUAUAUAUAACGAAUUCAACCACAACCGUUUGAAAUUUUCAUCAAAUGCAUGUAAUAAUAGUAAUUAAUAUUAGCCAACACAUGUGGCCAAUCGAACAAGACAUAAACUAAAGAUUCGAGUCACUAUACAUGCCAAAAAUCAAAAUAUUUGAACUAGCUAUACCAAAAGCUUCAAGUGAUAGUGUGAUCACUGUCUCCGACGUCUCUUGAUCCCCAAUACUAGCUUGACAGCACUAUAAGAAAAUGGAAAAGAAGGGGGUAAGCAUAAAGCUUAGUAAGCUCACAUACAAAUAAUAAACAACAUAACUCAUAAAUUAAAAUAAGGAAAAGUUUCAUAAGCUUAACUUUCUCAUACACACUCUUACCACAAGUAUUUAACAUAUCAAAUUCUCUACUCAAAAGUUUUACGUACAUACCUGUACCAAACUCGUAAUACAAUUGCAUAAUUCCCAAUGUUAACUUAGUCACCGAAUAACUACUAACUUACUCGUUGAACACUAGGAAUAUUAUUGGAUACUCGGAAAUCUUACACAUAACGCGUUAUAUGUAGCCACAUGCUACCUUAUUUAAUACACCACAUGUUGCUCGUUCUCGAACUAAUCACAAGCCUGUUCACACAAGCUGACAGUCGAGACGUAACUACACGAGCUGCUCACACAAGCUGACAGGUACCCGCAACACAUGCCAGGUUACCCAGCCACCGGUAGAACGUACAUGACUAGCGCCCGGAUUUAUAAAAUCACACAUCACAUAUACAAAUGAGCUCAUAACCACAUAGUUCCUAGUGACAUGUCACUUUGUAUCCUAAUUUUAUUCCUAAAGUUCAAACGAGAUUUUUCUUGUAGACUUACCUUCAACAAAUUUGGUCAUAUAAGCAGUUACAUAUUUUCAUGAUAAAAGGGUUACCACAAAAUCCCGCAUAAUAAUAAAAAGAGUAAUGUAACUUACCUUCAAGUGUAGAAAUUACAAUUCAUGCAUCAAUUAAGCAUUUAUACAUGAUUCACAUUGUAUUAUUUACAUGUGCACUUACAUCGGUACAAAAUUUGUAGAAACGAGUCUAGUCUUCGUACACAUUAUUUUUCCCCCGGUCAAGGUCCGUUCCUCUUUUUCUUAAUCUAAAAGGAUAAAAAUUCACUAGAUAAGUCCACAUAAUCAAAAAUUCACAUUCUUGGAAAAUUGACCAUUUUUCCCCCCAAACUUUUACAAAAUGACCAUUUUACCCCUAGGUCCAAAAUUCUAUUUUUAUCGAAUUUCCUUCUUAACCAAGCCUAACCUACCAUUUAUCUCUCUUAUGACAACCCUAAAUUUCAAAUAUUUCACAACAUUACUAUCUAUUUUAUAAACUUUGCAAAAUGGUCCUAUUAGGGUUUUCAUGAGAAAUCCUUUCACCAAAGUUGUUCAUUUCACCACUAUGAUUCAUUUCCUUCCAUAAAAUUCCAGAAAACAACAUAAAUUCUCUCAUGGUAAAAUUCUAGACUUUCAACCAUUUUGCAAAAUAGUCCCCUCAUUUGAAAGCUCAUGUUACAAGGGUUCUAAAAAUGCAAAAAUCAUCAAGAAAGACCAUCAAAAUCACUUACUUGUGAGGGCUACAAGUUGCUGAAAUUUCAAGCUUCCAAAAACCCCAUUUUUGCUGAAAAAUUUUGGUAGAGAAUAAGGGAAAAAUGAAAAAGAUUAUGGCUAGACACUAGGGUAAUAUUUUACUAUGUAAUAAGUCACCUAACCAUUGACCAUGCUAAUUUCUUGUCCCCUGUGGCCGGCCAUCAGCUACUAAAGGGUCUAUUACCCUCAAUUUUGGUUCUCUAGCUAUUAACACUUUUAACUAUCAAAAUAGGACUUUGUACUUUAUGCGAUUUAGUCUUUUUUCGCAAUUAAGGUCACAAUCGCUAAAAUUAGCUCAUCCAAAUUUUCAUACACUUAUAUAAUUAUACUAUAACACAUAAAAUAAUAUUAAAAAUAAUUCUUUGACCCCGAAUUAGUGGUUCUGAAAUCAUUGUUCCGAUCAACCCCAAAAUCAAAAAAUGUUUAAAAUAUAAAAAAUUACAAAAGUGAAAAAAAUUAUAGAAAAUUAAAAAAUAUAUUAUUAAAAGUUAUUCAAAAAUUAAUAUAAAAAAUUAAAAAAAUAUAAAAUAGAGAAAAAAAAUGUUUACAAUUUUAUAUACAAAUAGUCUCUAUUGUCAUUUGCCUUCUCAACCCAUUUCCCCACCUUAGUUUACAUCUCAAAUCACAUUCUUGUCAUCAACGAUGGACAAAGGGGCAUAAAGUUUGGAGAGGUUUGUGAUGGACGAACAUAGCAUAUAGUUUUAGGGAUCAAAAAAUAUUUCAUAAUUUUUAAUAGAUAUUGUAUUGUUAACCAUAGUUAGUGUGUUAAUGGAAAACCGUUAAUUUUUUAUAUUAUUAAUAUAUUUUACAAUUUUAUUUUUCUUAUAAUAUUUUAAAAAAUUAUUUAUAUUUCUAAUAAAUUUCUAUAUUUUAAAACAAAUCAUAAUUUUUACAAUUUUUCUAUAUUUUCAUAAUUUAUAUUUUUUAUAAUUUAUAUUUUUAAUAUAUUUAAAUUUAAAUUUUAUAAUUUAUAAUAAUUUUUAUAAUUUUCUAUAUUUUAUAAUUUUUUUAAUUUGUAGAGUCCUCUUGUGAAGUGCUUCUGAUACGUGGCAAUUGUGAAUGCAAGAAGUUUCCUACAUGUGAGUCCGUCUGGUGUUUGCAGCCGGGGGAGAAGACGAUAGGAACCAAUGAAUAACGUCUGUCCUGGUUUAUCCCAUGUGCCUAAUUAUUUUUCGCUCAAAACUGUUCUUUCAGAUUAAACUAAAUAAUCAGAUUGAUUUGUAAGAUAUGCAUUUGCUGCCAUUUUAAGCUUUUCUGUACUUUCAUUGGAACAUUGUCUAACCAAACAACUCCUUUUUUCCCUGUAAUGGUUCAUACGCUAUAUAUGAUCGUUUCAGUUUUGUUACUUUGACAAUGUUUAACCUGCACAAACGAUCUUGAGAUUCAUUAGCAUUGGUAUUAGUAAAAUAAAUUGUGAUUUUAUUAUAUAAUCGAAAAAUAAAAGACAGAAAAUGGGUAAAUGAAGGGGAAAAAACAAGAAUAGUGGAAAUUACAGAGGAAAAAAAAAAACUAGAGUUUCCGCCUCUCAGUACACCAGCCAAAGAAUUACAACGCAAAAUGUGGAAUGUGAUCAAAACCAAUCUAGAAGCUCAAAGCAAUGGCUGCCCAUCCCAACGCCAACCCUCCAAUUAUCUUCUUCAUGUUCUUCAUUGCCUCUGCUCCACUCUGCAUUUGUUUACAAUAACUCUUUAAAUUUUACAGAUAAAUAUAGUUUUAAGAUGAAAAAAAAAAGAUCCGUUGGUCUGUCCUUUUUCAGAAAAUUAAAUGAACUAGCUCAACGGUGCAUCCUUUAGACGCGAUUAAACGAAAAACAAGAUCUCUCUACAUUUAUGCAGUGUAAAAGUUCAGAUCUGAAAGCGCAUUGUUAUAUGAUGUAAGCUACUGAAACGUUAGUAAAGAGAAGAGAAUGUACCUCGUCGGCAGCGACAGAUGGACCGGGAGAGGAAGCAUCGAGGCUCGGUCCAGGAGCUCCAGUUGGUGGAGCGGGAGGUCCAAGCAUAUCAGGUGAAGGAGCCGGAGCAUGGUGUUUCUUGGAUUUCUUGCUUUUGCUCUUGCUCUUGCUUGGAGCUGGGGCCGGAACCUCAGCAGUAGUUGGUGCCGCAACAGGAGCCAGAGGAGAGGCCGAGCUCUCUGGUGGAGUCGUCGGUGCAGCAACGGGAGGCGAUCUGGCUGGAGGAGAGCUCACAGGUACUGGAGCCGGUGGAGAACUCACCGGAGCAGCAGCCGGAGGAGAAGACGGAGCAGAUUUAGAUGGGGCUGGAACCGCCGCAGACUUCUCCGGAGCCGCAACCGGUGGUGAAGAAGUUGGUGGGGAAGUGGUAGGGGCAGCAGUUGGAGCCGGUGAUUUAGGUUUGCUAACAGGGGCAGUAGCGGGAGCAGUAGCAGGAGUAGUCGCGGCCGGCGGAGCUUUAGUAGGUGAGGCUGCCGGAGAUUGACCACCAACAGCGGUCACCACAAAACAAAUCAAAACAACUGCAAAUGCACUUCUACGAUCCAUUUCUUGAAGACAGAGGGAGAGUGAAGUAGUAACAGAAACUAAUGACAAGGAGACAACAGACUCUCAAUAAAUAUAUAAAUAAAUGAGGGAGAGAAAAUCAGAAAAAAUGAUGAUUAUAAAAAGAAAAGAAGAAAAAGUUAGGAACGUGUUUGGAUCAGAAAUAGCCGUUGGAUGAGAAGCUAUUGCGGGGCCCACCGGCAUCAAACUAUCAAACAAAGACACAUUGUAAUGUGGCGAUCAAGACUCGACACAGUCUGGAUUGGGGGCCCACACACGUGGACCAUGUAAUUUGCUGUUACAUUACCUGAUUAAGAUAAACUACACCCAAGGUCAUUAAACUAUUAAUAAAUUUACAUUUCAGUAUUUAACUUUAAAAAGUUACAAAAUAAUUAUUAAAUCAUUCAGAAGUUUUUAUUUAAUUCAUUGGGCUAUUAAAUCGCUGUUGUAUGACUUUUUUUAUUCACACGGUCUGCACCAAUCAAAGGAUCUCAUUCUCAUUCUCUUCAACAAUUUAAUUAUUUUCAUGAAAUAACUUUGAAUAUUAUGAAUUUACGAAUCAAAAUCCAAACAGUUUUCUUCUCCGAUCUCUUACAUUGACCUAGAUCUGAGGUAUGUUCUUCUCCUCGCCUAUAGGUACUAAUCUAUUGUACCAAUCGUCGAAUCAUCACUUGGAGCUCACUAACCGAACUUUAGAAAAAAAUACUUAACAAUCCAAUGACUUAAAUAAAUACUUUUGAAUAAUUCAGUGACCAUGUUGUAACUUUUCAAAGUUAAGUCACCUUAGGUGUAGUUUAUCCUACUUAAUAUUGUAAUAAAUGUUUAAUUCUAUCCCCAACCCCUAUACUCUUUGGGGUUUUGAAAUUUAGCCUUCCUACUUUUGAUUUUAAAAUUUUAGUUUCUCUUUGUUUUUAUUUAAAAGUUAAAUUCCAAUUCAUGAAAACUUGGUUAAAUUUGAAUAUAGAUCAUUUUAAUAUUCGAAGAAUUGAUCUAAAAAUAAUAAUAUAUAUUUAAAUUGAAUGGAAAUGUUAUUAAUUAAAUUUUAAUUUUUAAAUUAAGCAGGAGAGAUAUGGAAUUAAAAGGUGAUAGAUUAAAAUUUAAAAGCUGAAAGAGUACAGGGGUUGAAAAAAAUUAAACCUACAAUAACUAAUUGAAUGAAGUAGUGAGACAGCUGGAGGUAGGGAUAGUGGGGUAUUGCUGGGCAAAGAGACAAACCAAUAGGAGGCGGCCACGUAACUGGGUAAAGCUGUUACCGGUGAUAUUUUGAGAUGGGUCAUCGACUCACCGGCAAGAAACUGUAUCUCUGCAAGCAAAACUUGUCUGGAAUAACGUGACGUGUAUUAUACUUAAACACCCUAACCUUUUCUCUUUUCGUUAAAAAUUGUAAAGUGGCUAAGGCCCUUUUUUGUGUUUUUUUUAUCAUCUAUAUAUUAGAGUUUUAAAAGAAGUUUUGCAAAAUAGUUGUGUAAUUAUUUCACCUACACCCUUUGGCCUCUCUCGGUAUAUUAUUGAGAGAGUAUUUAAUUGAAUCGAAUAAAAAAAUUGAGUUAAUCGAGUUAACGAGUCUUAUUUUAUCAUUCUAAUUCAAUUUGAAUUUUUUUCAAAUUGAAUUGAGUAAAAUGAAAUUCUAGUCGAUUCGAAUGAAAUUAGUUGAGUUAAAUUAAAAUCUUGUUAUACUAUAAUUAAAUCCAUAUUAUAGCAUAUAAUUUUGAAACCAUAUAUAUUUGAAAAAAAUUUCAAAAUAAAAAUAAAAAAAAAUUUACUUUAGUAUGAUAAACUUGAAUCAUUAAUUAACUUAUUUAGGUCCCAACAUUAUUAUUUUAGAAAAUUUUUAAUUUUUUAAAUUUCUUUAUAUCUUUUUUUAGAAUUUUUUUUGAAAUUUUUAUAAUUUUUAAAAAAUAUAAAUUUGGAAUUUUUAUAAAUAUUUUGAAAUUUUAAAUUUAUUUUGAAUUAUUUUAUAUUUUUUAUUGAGAGAGAGGUCAAGUUGCUCAUUUUCAAACUUGGCAGAGGCCAAAAAAGUAUUUAUACCAAUAUGUUAUUCGAAUUAUUCGAGUUAUUUGAAUUGUAAAAUUUAACUCGAUUCGAACUCAAAACUCGAAUUACUUAUUCAAGUUUACUUGAAUAAUUUGAAUGACUCGAUUCAAUUAGCUUAAAAUUUGAUUUUUUUUUAAUCGAAUCGAAUUUUGCUCACCCCUACUGUUUUGCACAGCAUCACAAUAUAGAUUUUUCGGUUUUAGAAUAUCGCCGAUCCAUAUUCUUCUUCAAUGCUGUCGAGCUCGACCCUUCCACAAUCAUUAUCUGUACAUCAUCAUCAUACAUUAUAUGAAUAGUAGAAUAUAUUAUUGAAUUGUCAUAUAUAAUAAAUUCAUAUCUCUACAAUUUAAUCGAAGCUUCGAUUUUUAAUUGAUUUUACACUUCAUCUUCACUAAUAUGAUAUCUUUUAAGAACAUCAUAUUAAUCAGACUCAAAUAUUACAUUGAUAUCUAUAUCAUGAAUUUGACCAUUAUAGUUCACCACAACAAAGAACAUAAUGCUGAUUUUAUAUAAAAUUUCUAUAUAUAGUAUUAAUUUAAAUUAAAAAAUUUAUCAAUAUAUAACUAAUAAAACAAUAAUAUCAUUCUGCCUAAUAUAAUAUAUGAGUAUAACAUAAACAUAUUUCAUAAAUAAAAAAAACUAUGCUUAAUGUGAUGCAUUGGAUUUAUAAUAUUAAAUAAAUUAAACUUUAUUAAAUUAUUUCUAUUUUUAAUAUUUUUAAGAAUAAUAUUGAGGGGAAAUUAAAAUAGAUUCUCAAAUAUGAAAUAAAAUAUAGGAUUUAUUUUCUAAAUAUAAGGACGCAAAUUUCAUAAAUAAAUAAUAUUAUAUAAAUCAUACAAAUCCUAUUUCAAAUAAUUUUUUUUAGUUUCAUCAGUCAUUUGUUUUUAAGAUCAACAAAUUCAACCGCGUUUGUAAAAUAUAUUUUUGUAAAAAGUUAGCUUAAUAAUCAAUUUUUUGUUAUAAAAUAAAGAGAGAUGGAGAGAAUAAAUAACAAAUAAAAUAUGAAAGCAAUAGAGAAUGUAUUUUAUUAAUCAAAAUAGAUGAUUACAAUGUUUAUUUAGAGUCUCUAUUUAUAUGUAUAAGAAGUAUAAAAGAAUUAGAGAUCUAAUUCUAACUAUUAUAAUUUAAAGUACCUUGAAACUUUAUCUUCAUCAUGAUGGACAUCCAUUUAAUAAGAUAUUCAUAACACUCCCCCUUAGAUGUCCAUUGAUAGAAGAUAAUAUGCCUCAUUAAAACCUUAUUAGGAAAAACCCUGUGGAAUAAAAACCCAAUGAAGGAAAAAUAGUACACAAUCUAUAAUACGCAUAAUCUGUUGCCUCAUUAAAAACUUUACCAGGAAAACCCAAUAGGACAAAAUCUCGGUUAAGGGAAAAAUAGUGCAACACGUAUUUACUCCCCUCAUGAAAACUAUAACAACCCGUUUUUAGUGAAAUCAAAUUAGUGGUUUUGGGACCACAAAUCUGAGUUAAAAAGAAAAUUUAUUUUAAUAUUAUUGCAUGGUCCGCAUUAUGAUAGGAAUGCUAUAUGAAAAUUCUGAUAAAUUUUUUUUAUAGAUUAUGUGUUUAAUUAGAGAAAGGACCGAAUUGCAUAAAAUGUAAAAGUUGAGAUAUAGUAGCUAAAAGGAUCAAAUAGCUAUGGAUUUCAAAAUAAGAGGUCCUUAUAUGGCAAUUAGACCAUUAAAUAAAAGUUAGUAGAUAUUUUUGGUGAUUCAUCCAUGAAAAAUUAGAAAAAGAAAAUGAUGAAAUUGGAAAGUUUGAAAAAUUAAAGAUGAUAAAUAAAAUAAAUAUCAAAUAACAUCAUUUUAUAUCAUCUUCUUCCCCAAAAUUUAUAUGGAAACCCUAGGAGAGAAAAAGGAAACUAAUCAAGCUUAAUUAGGUAUGAAUUCUUGUCCCCUUUUUAGUAAUUUUUAUAUUCUUGUGAUCGAAAUAGUUUUUAGUAACAAGCGUUAAAAGUCUACUAUCUAUUUUGGGGAUUAAUUUGUAAAGUUAUCAAAGUAUCAAAGUUUUUCCAUGGAUGAAUAUGCUGAAAUUUUGAAAUUUAUGGUAGAAAAUGAAAGGUUGUUGAUAGAUAAACAACUUUUACAAAGAGAAUUUUGAUGAAAUUAUGAUUUAUGGACUAAAUUGUAAAGAUGUAAAAGUUAUGGAAAAAUUCUAAAUUUUGUGAAAUAUAUGUGCUGUAAAUGUUAUAUGAAAUUUUCGGUUAGGCUUGGAAUAAGGAUUAAUUGCCUGAAUUUCAUUUUCCGAGCCUAAGGACGAAAUUAGAAUUAAUAAAAAGUAUAGAGGUAAAAUGAUAAUUUUUCCUAGGAUAUGAAUUGAAUGUAAAUGAGUAUGAAAUGGAUUAAAUUGAUGUUAAAUUUAUUUAUAUAGAUCCAGAUAACUCAAAUUUGAAGCUAUAUCGAGGAAAAUAAAAGGUGACAGAUUAGUAGACUUUUAAAUACGAACAAGUGUCGAGGUAAGUUCGUGUAACUUAAUUAUGUAUAUUUAUAUGUUUGAAUUGCAUGUUGUACUUAUGAGAAUUCUAUAAAUGAUUAAUGUAUGAAAAUAGUCACAUGCCCAAAAUUUUUCGAUAAAUAAUAAAUUUCGUUUGAAUAAUGAAAUGCGAUGGAUACAGUAUUUUCCCGUGCUGAUUAUAGUCCUGAAUAUGUUGCAGACAUUAUAGCUCAGAAGAGCAACCUGUUAGUAGUAAUGCUUAAAAUGAGGAAUAAAGCUUAACCGAGUUCCCGCUACACUAACCCGAUCAAGAUUGGGGAUCACCUGAAAUCUAAUCCAAACAAAAUGAGUUGUGAACUCAAUGCAUAAAAGAAGGUUAAGUUUAUUCAAUUAGUGUUCAUUUAUAAAGUAGUUUCAAAAUCAGAAAUUCGGUUCGGUACAAAACUAUUUACAGUUCAGUUUCAAAACAGAUCAGUUAUAUACAUAUAUUUAUAUAUCUAAAAAUUCAUAUAUAUAUAUAUAUAUAUUGUAGAUCAGAUUUAGAUACAGAUAUUCCUAAACCCCACCUGCUACACACCAUCUCUGACCAUUUCAACACACCGUUAAGGACAUUCAAUGCCCAUCCAACCAUAUACACCACAAGUGUCUGUUUGACACGUUUACAAUAACACAACUUAGCUGCUGGAUCAUAAUGUGUCAAGUGCCAAAAUUGAAACUAUUCACAUAGUGGCCUAACCACUGAUUCAAAGUAGAUUACUUCCUUCUUCAUAACAUCCCAACCCAUGCAAAUGCAGAGUACAAUUACCCACAAUGCACUUACAAUUAUAAUAUUCAUACAUCCAUUACAGAGUAUCAGAGAGUUCUCAUUCAACCAAAUUCAGAUCAUUCAUACAAUGGGAAAAUCAUUAUCAGUCAUAAACAACAUUUACAGCCUCAAAAACGGGUUACGAACCCCUUUUAUAAUGCCACACGGUCAUGUCCUUGCCCAUGUGGCUCACACGACCUGGUCACACGCCCAUACCCUUUGCUCAUGUAGUUCUAACAUGUAAACAGAGAGUUACAUGGCUUGGACACAUAGCCGUGUCCUUGUCUGUGUGAUUCACACGGCAUGGGCACACGCCCGUGUGCUUACCCACGUAGUCCUAAGUCACAAACAGUGAGUUACACGGCUUGGACACACAGCCGUGUCCUUACCCGUGUGACUCACACGGCCUGGGCACACGCCUGUGUGCUUACCCAUGUAGUCCUAAGUCACAAAGAGUGAGUUACAUGGCCUGGACACAUGCCCAUGUCUCAUGCCCGUAUGAACCUUACACUACCAUGGCCACACAUUGACACAUGCCCGUGUGCCUUUCCUGUAUAGUUCCAAAUUGAUGAACAGUGAGUUACACAACCACCCACAAGGCCUAGACACAUGCCCGUGUGCCUGGCCGUGUGACGUCGAAAGCCAGCAUUUCCGGCUACUGAAACUUGCAAAAUUAAGGUCUCUGGUACGCACCUAUUUUUGUGUUGAUUAAGAGACAAUACGGAGAUUACUCGGAACCUAAUUAACUAUUCAGCAAUCAAUCAUUUGACUAAAUCGACUAAUUAACACAACAUUAAUACACAAUCAACUAUGUCGAAUAAUUCGACAGGAGGAAACUUCAACUACUAACGCUUACAAACAAUUCAACCGUGUUAAGUUGGCACAACACGCAAAGGGUUGCUUCUCUCUACACUCACUGUAACACCCCUAACCCGUAUCCAUCGUUGGACUAGGGUUACGGGGCAUUACCGAAAAUAUUGGAACAUUUCGUAAUCACUUUACAAUCAAAGUCAAACAUAAGCAUAAAGUCCCUACUUAGGUCAAUGAGACCAUAAACAAGCAUUAAAAAGAGGUCGGGACUAAACUAAACACACUCGUAAAUUUCAGAACUUAGAAAUUUUUUUCAAUUCUAUUGAGGUCACACGCUCGUAUGACCAGGCCGUGUGCCUUACAUGGGCACCAGACACACCCAUGUAAUCCAGUCGUGCCAAAACAGAGCAUGCACACUGACUUUUCCCCACGGCCAAUAAACACGCCCGUGUGCUAUGGCCGUGUGAUACUUAGCUAGCUACUAACUUUAGCCUACGGCCAUAUGACACGCCCGUGUGUCAAGGCCGUGUAAUUUUUAAGAGAAUACUGUUUUUCUUAUGUCCCCUGACCGUGUAGCACAAUGAAGGCUUGGUUUAAGCCAACUUGCCACCCAUUAUGAUUCAACCUACAACAAGGAAACAAACAUAUAUAUGUACAACCCAAUCAACCAUUCUUUAAGCUAAAACAUACAUCAUUCAUGCCAUAGUUGCAAAUUAACAUCACAUAUCAUAAGCCAUUAUCAAAUAUGAGUUCAAACACAAAUUAGCCAAAUCUCAUGGCUAACUAUAUACAUCACAAAACAUAAUUCACAACUACUAGCCUAUACAUGCCAUACUUCAAAUAUUUACAUUUUCAAUAGUACCAAAAUGAGAUCGAUAGUGUGGUGACGAUCCUAAACUAUCCCCGAGCCUUCAGUAGCUACGAUAUUUGUAAAACAGAUAGUAAACACACAGAGUAAGCUUUCAAAAGCUUAGUAAGCUCGUACUAAAAACAUUCAUAGUAUAUGAACAUAAAAUGAUAACCUAUGAGUAUUUGUACAAUUUCAAUCCAUAUAACUAUAUCAACUCAAUGAGAUUCAUAUACAUAACAUCAUCUACCACUUAGGCAUUAUACAUACCUGAAGCUUCCCAUACUUAUUCACUUUUGUACUUACCUCAUGUUGAAUGUUAUGAGACUUUCCAUAAGUUAUUCAUAUUUUAUACAUCAGCACACUUAGUGCUAUAAGGUUAGUUGAAGCUAAAUAUUUCCGCACACUUAGUGCCAUCUCAAAUAAUCGAGACUAAGUUGGUAUCGCACACUAAGUGCCUCAAGUAGCCGAAGCUAGUUAAAUCGCACACUUAGUGCCAAAGCUAGUUUAAAUAGCACACUUAGUUCCAAAACUUCCGUUUCAUCACCAUAUUAUCCAAUUCAAUUAUAUACAACCUAUGUAUAAUAAAGACAUCAAAACUUACUUAACAUCAUAUUUUAAGUACGAACUUACCUCGUACUCGGAAUUUGUCGACUCGGACUAUCUACUUGAUAACCUUUGACUUUCCUCGAUCUAAGUCCGAAUUCCUCUUUUCUUGAUCUAUAGGUUUUCAAAAUUAACCCUUUUAUUCACCAAUUAAUUCAAUUCAAUCUAUAAACACAUAUUUAGGGCAAUUUGCAAAAUAGCCCUUGCAUUUUCACAUUUCGACACUUUAGUCCCUAUUUCACAAAAUCACAAAAUACACAUAAUUUGUAUAUACUUAUGCUUGGUCGAAUUCUACUAGUACUCAUACUAGUCCACACAUUUCAUUUAUUUCACAUUUUAGUCCCUCAAAAUAACAUUUUCACAAAUUAGCCCAAAUUUGCUCAAAUCCAACUAAAAUCCAAAGACAAAACAUGUAAACUCAACAUCAAGCUUUCAUAUUUCACCAUUUAACAACGCAAAACUCAUGAAUUCAUCCAUGACACAUUUUUAAAUCAUCACAAAAUUAGAAAUUGAGGCAUGGGCUUUAUAGUACACUUAGCAACGAUCACAAAAAUGUAGAAAUUAUCAAAAAUCGAAGCAAAAACAUACCUCAAUCAAGGAAUACAAUGGCCGAAUCCUAGGUGUUCUUUUUCUUUUAUUUUCUUUGUAUUUUCGGUUAAGAAUGGACAUAAAAUGAUCCAUUUACAUGCAUUUGUUUUAUUAUUAUUAACAUAAAAUCUAAAUGACCAUUUUCCCUUUUAUUCAACCAUUAAAAAUUCACCUAACACAUGCCCUUUUUUGUCCAUUCAAAUCUCCAAUGGUCAAAUAACCACAUAAGGACCUUUACUUUAGAAAGCCAACUUAAAUAAGCACUUAAACAUCUAGCACACAGCUUUUACAUUUUAUGCGAUUAGGUCCUUUUUGCAAAUUAAGUACACAAACAGUUAAAUUUUCGCACGAAACUUUUACACAAAUCAAUUUACAUAUCAUAGACACAGAAAUUAAUAUUAAAAAUAUUUUUCUAACCUGGAUUUGUGGUCCCAAAACCACUAUUCUAACUAAGGUCAAAACCAGAUUGUUACACUCACGCCUAAGGGAAAAAAUGACUAGUUAACAGAUAGUUUAAGUAAAGCAAUUCAACAAUUCUCAAUUUAACAUCGUAACAAAAUCUAUCCAAAAACUCGUAGAAGUCAAAAGAUUUCAACAGAACUUACACAGAAGUCUUUCAGUAAUGUAAAGAAUUCACUAAUUCCCGAUGAUCACGUGUAGAACACACUCGACGAGAAGAAUUCAAAGAAGUAAACCAAAGAAAGAAAAGGACAAUAAACAUAUAUAAAAAAAUAAAAAGAAGAAAAAAAAUACAGAUGUUAACUAAAUUCUAAUAAAUUUUGUCUUAACCACCAGCGUACCUUUAACAACUAGAAAAAAAAUUUCUCUUAACGCAUAUGAUAGGGUUCGAAUUCGGGACCAGAUAGAUGCUUAACCAGUGAACCAGUAGGCUUAUUCUUGUCAUAAGUUCUUACAGAACUACCUUUACCCAUAUACCACAUGGAUACAGAUUGAUCUAAAAAAAUAAAACUUUUAAUGAUGGCACUCGAACUCCAGACCUUAAACAUAGAAGCAGAACACAGAACUAGAGAUACAAAAAUUAAUUACUACAAAAUCUCACAAUUAAACUCUUAAAAUUUUGGGGCGUUACAUAUACUUUAGCUAAUUGGUCAUGCAGCUGCGCUUGCAAUUGAUCUUGCAUGUCUUUUUGAAUUUGUUCUAGUGUCUCUAACCUUUGAUCCAUGGCUUUGGUUUUACCACGGGAACUAUAACGAUAUUCGGUUGGCAGAUUCUUGUUGGUUUCCAGGGUAACUGUCAUAAUUUUGAUUAAUUAGGGUUUAUUUAUGAAAUUUAAUGUAUAUGAUGAAAUGUAAUGCUAAUGAAUGAAAAAUGAAUGCAAAAAGAGGCAUUGAUUCUGAUUUAAUUCUAUUAGAACAACUUUAUUAGAAAACAAAUUUCUUUACAUAAAACGAAUAUAUUUUACAUAUACAGUCUUGCCCUAAUACUUAAAGCCUUGACUUUCCUAAGAAGCCAAGCUAAUUCUCGGCCUUGACUUGUUUUUGAUUCAUAUCUCAAGCAUAACAUGUCAGCUUGAACUGCUAGGGUUUGCAAAUGGUCGGCUACUUCUCGUACUUGAGUUAAAGCUUCGCCUAUGAUCUGAUCUUUAUCCCUGAUCUAACCUUGAGAGUGUUAAAAUUGCUCUUUCCAAUGUUCAUUGUUCGUUUCAAGAAGCUCAAUUCGAAGUUCACAAUUUUGCAGUGUGGUCUCGAGCCCUUCUAUUUUUCCCUUCAACCCUUCAAUCUGUUCUUCUAUUUUUCCCUUCAACUCUUCAAUUUAGUCAGGCUUGCUUUCAACUCGAUCACAGAGUUGCGACUAUGAUGUUGAUGCAGUGACCUUUCUAAUUCCGCUACCUGGGCUCUCAAUCCAACGUUUUCAUUUUGGCUUUCUAACAAAUCCCUUUUUAGAGCAUCUUCUCGAGCUUGAGGCUCUUGAAAUUUCUUUUCCCACUGAUCAACUUGAAUAUUUUCUUCUUAGAUUUCUUACUACCACUAUUCUGAUGUUUUACCCAACCCAACAGUCCUUAUCGACAAAUGCAGCUUCUUAUAAUCUGUUUUUAGACUGCCUAAGUCUUCCUCAGCCUUGUUCUUUCCUUUUUCUCAUUUUUUCAUCUUCUAACUUCUAGACGUCGACGUCUAAUCAUAGCUAAACCUUUUCCUCUUCCAACUUUUCUAUCCUUUUCCUUAGCUCCGAACUCUUCUUUUUGAAGUCUUGCUUUACAAUCUCUAAUUUAGACGGGAUCACUUGCAAGUGUUCUUCUAUUGGCUAGGUACUUUCUUGGCUUGUGAAGGGACAUUGUCAUUGAUUCUUUUACCCUACCACCAAUCAUAUUCUGGGGUCGUGAUGAGAUUUGAGAAAAAUCUAUUCAUUUUGUGAGUUUGGUUCCUCAUGUUCGAAAUUUCACGAACCUUCUUUGUGUACUUGUCAGCUUUGUAUGCAAACUCACAUUGACCCAACCCUUGCGUUGCUAGUAUAAACUGCCUCAACCUAUACUGUCACAAUAAAAGUAGAAGGGUAUAUCUGUCAACUCCUCAUAUCCCGAGUAAAAGGACCCAGUCAAAGUCUCCACAUCUGUACAAAAUUUCAUCAGGGAUCAUCCAAGAGACCCUCCAUUCAAUGUCUUCAUCUUAAAGACUCUGGAGAAUUGUCAUCCACUUUUUUUCAAAAAUGUUGUCUCGUCUUGGGAUAGCUACGAAUUCUUUCAAUAGAGAGUAGUCCUCGAAAAACACUCGAUAAGAGACUUUUUCUACCUUCCAAAAGUAGUUAUGGAAUCAAGCUAACAAGAUUUAUGCACACCCGAUAAAUCUUCCUUCACCAGUUUUUCGGUAUGCACUUAAAGAUUUGAAAGUUUCAGCCAAAAUUGUCGGGACGGAUAUGACCUUUUUGUCAAGCCGGUCAAAUAGAUCUGAAAUUGCAUCAUCAACGUGCCUUAGUGCUUUGGGGAAGAUAACUAACCCAUAAACACUCAAGGCAAAAACAACGACUCUUUUCCUCGCAUCUAGAUGUACCAAGAUCAAAUCUCGUAGACUUUUCCAAGAGAUGCAUUUACUAUCCUCUUUUUGUUUGAUCUAGGCCGUGACCCAUUGCUCGCUCAUCCCAGUUAUGUUCAUUAGUUUCUUUAAGAAAGUCAGGACAUUGGCAGCUCUAGAAUAAGCUUUGUCAACUUGGAUCCUCGGGCAACAGAUGUAACACCCCUUACCAAUGUCUGACGUCGGGACAGGAUAUGAGGCAUUAACGGACUUAAACGCAAACAAUCAUGCAAAGCAGGCCAUAAAAUUUCAUUCAUAUUUUAAAAAAUUCAAUCACAUACACAUGGUCCCUUAUUUGAGUUACAAAGCCCAAAACAUACUUUAAAAGGGUUCGGGACUAAACCGAGAACUUUGGAAAGCUCUAGGAAAAAGUUAGAAAUUUUUCUUAUGAAACAAGGUCAUACACCCGUGUGCCAUCAACACGCCCAUGUCUUCAAGCCGUGUAACUCUCUAUUUAUGACGUCAGUAAAUAAAUUGAACCACACGGCCAGGCCACACGCCCGUGUCACCAGGCCGUGUCCCUCACAUGGUUGAGACACACGACCGUGUCUCAUCCUGUGUAGUUAAAUCUUAGGCUAUUUUCCAAGCCUUUUUGUUACCCUUACAUGCACACACAUUUACAUGGAUCCAGUGGCAUUCAAAAUCCUCAAUUAUGAUACAAAUAUAUCAUUUACCUAUCAACAUGUAUGUGUUACACAUUCCCACAUUAAGCUAAGACUAGCCAUACCAUAGUUAUCUUUGUGCCAAUUUAUUUCAACUUAUCAUCAAACUUCCAUGUUCAAAGCAUUAUUAUUUAUCUCCAUAUUACACAUUUAAUUCAUGGUCAUAAAACAUGCAUUCAACACACAUGACAUAUUGCCAACCAUGCAUGACAAACAAACAUAAUCAUAUCUUCACAUCAUAAACAAUAAAUCAUAACUUGAUUAGCUAUACUUACAAGCCAUAAUCAAUAUGAGCCACAUCUCAUGGCCAUAUAUAGCAGCACAAAAUAGGACAAUACAUUUGGCCAAAUCAUAAUAACACAUGUCAUAGAACUAGGCCCCUCUACAUGUCACUCACUUGAUAAUUCUAACAUAUGUAACAAUAUUCCAAAGGUAUUGGCUUGAUAGUGUGAUGCUGCCUCCAAUGAUCUCCAACCCCGAGCUGACCUGACAACACUAAAAGAAAUGGAAAGGAGGGAGUAAGCUUAAAGCUUAGUAAGUCCAUAUGAAAAUAAUAAGCAAAUUAUCAACAUGAUUCCAUGGAAAUAUAAUCAUAAUUACACUUUUACUUAUUUUCUAGUCAUGUUGUUUUCUCGAGUCAUAGUUACUAAAUUAUUUAUAUCUAGAGCUACGAAACUCAAACUUAAGAUUCGUAAAUUUUACUUGAAACUAGACUCAUAUAUAUUUUCACCAAAAAAUUUCCAGAAUUUUUAGUCUAGCCAAUAAGUACAGUUUAUUCUUUAAAGUUAAACCUAUUCUGCUACUUGACAACUUCAACCUUUCUUUACUAAAAAUCUAUUAUCUCAUAGUACGGGUUUCUAUUAAUGUUCUUGUCUAUUUAUCUUGAAAAUAGACUUAUUAAGGAUUUUAAUCAUAUAAAUUAUAACUCAUAAUUAUUUUUGUAAAAUUUUUAAUGAUAUUUCCAAGUCAGAACAGGGGAUUCCAAAAUCAUUCUGACCCUGUCUCAUAAAAAUUCAAAUAUCUCAUAAUAUGAAAUUAUUUUGCUUACAUCGUUUCCUUUAUAUGAAAAUAGACUCAAAAAGAUUUAAUUUCAUAUCUUAUUCAACCUAAAUUUGAUUUCCAUGAUUUUUUGUGAUUUUUCAAAGUUACACAACUGCUGCUAUCCAAAACUAUUUUAUUACAAAUUUCACUCUUACAUAAUUUCACUUACUUCAUUCCAUCUUACCGAAAGUUAGCUCAACAAUCGAGCAAAUUGCUCAUAAAUUUCCACAAACAUAUACCUUUAUUUAUUCAUCACAUGGUCAUGUUCACAUGUAUUUUCACUUAGUCGAUUUCCCGUUGAACUCAUCGGAAUAAUAACUGAUACACGGUUGCCUGCACAUAUUACCACCCUUGUAACCGAAGCUAUCUAGUACUCAUAGUAGCUUGCACUUAGUACUACACAUGCGACCAAAAAUCUGGUCCACGUUGUAGCCUGCACUUAGUACUACACACGUGAUUGAAGUUGCCGGGUACGCAUAGUAGCCUGCACUUAGUACUACACAUUCGACCUAAUUAUCUAGUACACAUAGUAGUCUGCACUUAGUACUACACACGUGACCUAAAACCAUCUUAAACACAUAGUAGCCUGCACAUAGUACUACACAUGUGUUCUCACAAUGGAUCAUUUGUAUCAUUUCUAUUCCGAAGGUUCAACUAGGAAAUUCCUCACUUUUCAACAUUUAACAAACUCAUUCAUAGUCUAUUUCAAUUCGUAAUUUACAUCAAAUGAUCAUUCUAUAGGCAGCCACAUCUCAUAUAAUAACAAAAUAUAAUAACAUAAAAAGAAUCGAUUUAUUAUUUACAUACAAACUUACCUCGAAUGUGAGCACGGCUAUUUAUUCCGAUUUAGUCCAUAAUCUCAUUCAUUCCCAAUCUAUGCCCGAAUCUCAUUUUCCUUGAUCUAUAAUAUCACAUUUAGCUUAAUAAUUAGUCACAUUAUUCAUAUGGGUCCAAAAAUUAUAUUUUUACAAAUUUAUAUUUUGACCCCUAAACUUUCACAUAUUUUCACUUUUAACCCAAGGCUCGUAAUAUGAUUUUUUAUCCAAUUUCCUUGCAUUUUAAGCCUAUCCGAAUCAUUUUUCAUAACUAUAGCAGCCCCGAAUUUCCACUAAAUCACACUUUUAUGACAAAUUUUACAACUUUUGCAAAACAGUACUUUUUGACAAUUUCACCAAAAAUCACUUAGUAAAAGUCGUUUAUUACACACCGAGCAUUCAUUUUAUACCAUUAGACAUCAAAACACAUGCAUGUCAUCCAUGUUUAAAUUUUUUAAACACAAACCCUAGCUCAAAAUAUGGGUAGAAAUGAGUAGAUCUUGUUACAAGGAUUUCAAAAACGUAAAAAUCAUAAAAAACUGGUCUAGAACGGACUUACAAUCAAGCUUGGAAACUUGAAAAAACCUAGAUAUGUCUUCUCCAUGCAAGUUUCAGCCAUGGGGUAGAAGAUGGACAAAAAUUGGCUUUUAAUUUUGUUUUAAAUUCAUUUUAAUUACUAGAUUACCAAAAUGCCCCUAACUUAAAAAUAUUCUAUUUCACCCAUUUCAUGUCCAUUUUUGUCCAAAAAAUUAUAAAAUGGUCUAAUUACCAUUUAAGGGCCUCCAAUUUAAAAUUUCAUAAUAAUUAGACACCUCUAACAUGUAAAACUCAACUUUUUCACUUUUUACAAUUUAGUCCUUUUGACCAAAUUGAAUGCCCAAACGUAAAAAUUUUCGAACGGAAUUUUAAUGAAAUCAUCCCGUGAAAUUUUAGACCAUAAAAAUAUAAUAAAAACAAAUUUUACUGUGUCAAAUUUGUGGUCCCGAAACCACUGUUCUAACUUGGCUCUAAUUCGGGAUGUUACAACGUAACAGAGUUGUGUACUCUUCUACGGUGGGCACCAAGUCUACCUUCCCAAAAGUGAAGUAGCUAUAGGCGGGAUUUCAAUACUGGGCAAGAGCUCAGAAUAAGUGCUUAUCCACUUUGACAUCGAGUAAAUAAGGUAAAUCACCAUAUCCACGGUAGAAUAACUGCUUGAUUUCGUCAUCCUAUUGGUCCCAUAUUUCUUUCAACUUUUGAAGAUUAUUCUGAGUCACACUAAUGCGGGUGAAAUCCCAUAAUUCCGGCAUGUACCUAUCCGUCAGACUGUCACUCUUCUCUUGUUGUAUUUUCUUGGACCAUAUUCAUAUGGCUGCAUUGUCUUCCACUUUAUCAAGAAAACUUUUUUCCAUGACAAGCCUUCUAUUUAGCAACUGAACGCAAAUCAACACCCUUUUCUAUGAUGAAAAUGCAAUGCAAUCAUAGCCAAAACGAAAGAAGUCAGUACAUUUCAUACAAAGCUAGAAUACAAAACAAGAAAUAGUAAAUAGAACAUAUAUUCGGGUGACCACUAAAGGUUUGAUAUGGUCCUACCCAAAGUGGGUUCUUUAGGACUCAUUACAUGCGGUUCGGUUCUAAAGUACCUGAACGAGCAAAUUUUUCAAUCUUCACCUAUUAUAGGCUCAUACGGACCAAGUUCAGUUCAGAGGAAUACAUUUCCCUAUGGCUAUACGGAGGUGAAGACCUCACAAAGACAUAGGUACGGAUGUAUCCCGAAAGCGAUCCACUAUCUUAUAUGGAGGUGAAGACCUCAAGAAUGAAUAGCUUCUCACUCCCACCUAAGAAGGGCAAAAUGGAACAAUUAUGCCAUGUAAUGUGCGAAAAUAUACUAAGAGAAACUCGAACCAAUAAAGCAAACAUAUUAAAUCAUUAUGUAACCCAAGAUAAUAAAGACAUUAUUUACCACCAAAAUAAAAUAUAAAGAAUGAAAUACAAUGAGAGGAUCGUCAAUUUAAACCGACUUAUCAAUUUUUGACAAAAAGACCAAAAAUUAACUCGUGGCUUGACUCACUUAUUUAUCCCCAAUAGAGUCGCCAAGCUAUCGAAACCUUUUUUUUUUAAAUUGAAUUUUAUUUUAAAAAUAAAAAUAGAGUCGCCACCAAUCCUUUUUAAUUAGGUGUGAUUGGAUUAGCUCAAAACUUUAUUAUUUUAAUAAAAUGUUAGAUUUAAUAAAAUUAUUUUCGGUCUUACAAAAUCCAGGAUAUAGGUUCGGGAGUUGGUUACAUAUGAGGAAGGAUUAGCACCCUCAUAACGCCCAAAAUUAGUACCUAAUAGAUUACUUGAUAUCUUAAUGUCGAAAACUGAAAAUUUGAAAAGAAUUUAAAACACGAUCCCUCUUUGCAUAAUGUUAUUUGAUUAAGAUAUUACUUAACUAAAUUAAAUUUAAUGGAAAAGGCCUUAUCGUGAGUUAAUCGAGAAGAAAGACCAUGCCCCGUGAGUUAGGAAACGAUGCCUCGAAUUCUCAAAAACCAGAAUAAUAGCCAUUUGAUCGGUUCUUAAAUCUUGCUUUUCGUUAUUUUAAAUAGGAUAUUCGAUUACUUCGAUUUUAGGAAGAUGUGAUGCUCUGUAAGUUAGGAGCAUAACUCCUCGAAUUCCAAAAAUAAUGAACAUAGCAUCGGUUUUAAGUAUUUUCUAUACGUUAGAUAAGACGAAGGUAACUUUUAAAAUGAUAGACAAUUAAUUUAUUUAGGCAUAGUGUAAAAAAAUGAAUAAAUAUAUUUUAACAUGAUGGCAUGGUAAUUAACAAAAUAAAGCAAAAUAGUGAAGGUAAAAUAAAAUGAUAUUAGAAUAAUAAAUAAGUAAAUAAAGAGAAAAACAAAUAAAAAGGUAAAAUAAAAAUGUCAUGCUAGUGAAUAAUAAUAAUGCAACUAUAAUAAUAAUACAUCAAUUUAUAGUAAUAAUAGCGAUAAUCAUGUCACGACCAUUAUCAUAAUAAUAAUAAUAAUAAUAAUAAUAAUAAUGAUAAAAUAAAAAAGUACAUAAAAAAGGGAAUAUAAAUAACAUAAAUUUUAAAUGUUAAAAUAAAAGAUAUAGUAAAUGAAGAGGCAAAAUUAAAUAAAUGAGGGAUCAAAUUGAAACUUAAACAAAACUUAAAACAUGAAUUGUGAAAUAAACAAAGAAAAGGGAAGCGAAGGAUUAAAUUGAGAACAUAACAAAAUUUAAAGUCUAAAUUACAAGAAAAUAGAACAUAAAGGAUUAAAUUAAAAGAAAAUGGAAAAUACAGGGAUUCAGGGGGAAUUAUCCCAACCCUAUUUACAUGUGUCAUUCCCAGAAGGAUCAUCAAUGGGUUAAGAGGACCAAAUAGCAAAAGAGUAAAAUAAAAGGGCCAAAAUAGAAGUAAAAAUAAUAAGCUGUAGGACGAAAUUGAAAAAUAGCAAUGAAGCGGAAGGGGCAAAGCAGCAAUUAUACCCUCCCCUUUAAAAACACGCAGAUCCUAAGGAAAUUCAGGUCGGCCCCAAAAUGACAUCGUUUUGGGGCGUUUAGGGCCACGAUGAAACGACGUCAUUUAGGCAAUCCUAUUUACGUAAAAAAAUAUUAAAAAAUUAUUUUUAAACAGUUUUCAAGACAAAAAUUUACUUUCUCUUUUUUCUUUGAAGCUCUUCCUGUGUCCGGCCACAGGGCCGUCGGUGCUCCGCUGUGGCCAUCGGUCAUCAGCGACGGCAGCUGUCACCUCCGGUGGCUGAAGUUGUAAAAAGAAAGGCUUUUUUAUCUCCAUUUUACGGGGAACCCGAAUCUAAGGCCGAAAUCCUUAAAAUCCGGUCAAAAUCCAAAAACGCAAAAGGGACCUUUUGGUUCGCGGUCCUCCUCCGACGCAGUCUUUCGGUGAAUCCCCAAGGAUUCGACAGCUUUUCAAGCCAGAGGGGACAUCGACAACGGCGACAAAGGUGAAAAAAUGUUUCGUAUUUUAUUUAUUAUUUUUUAUAUGUAUACGAUAUAAAAAAAAACCUUUUUUAAGAACAGGAAGUUUUUAUAUCUUUUUGCUCUUCUCCUUCUCUUAUUACAAUCUGUUUAUUCGGCUUUUAUAGCCGAUUGAUUACAAAUAUUUGUAUUUGCUUUUGCUUUUCUGCUUCUGCUUCUAUUUUUGUUUUUUUCUUUCUUCUUUGCAGGUCGAGAUGGUAGUCAACGAUGAUGGUGUAAGAGUAUGCCCAAAGAUUAAUCAUAAGAUGGUUGUAAUAACAUACUUGAUUUACCAUGUUUAUUAAUAUAAUGCGUUUCCAUUAUUAUUUCAGUUUCUUUUCUGUGUGUAUAAAUAAAUUGUUUUAUAAUAAUGUCCUGAGAAUAAUAUGAUUGUUCUUAAAAGAUCCUUAGUCAAGUAUUAUUGUUGACUAGGACAACAAUAAUGCAUUAAGUCUAACAUGUAGUUGAUUGAUGAUAAAGAGUUGUCAUUGAUAUGGAGUGUCAAAAUCAAUGCAUGAAUAUGUGUGUUAGAGAACAACAUAUUGGACUGACCCACUAUGAGUAUGUUUCUUGGAUUAUUAUGUAAUUGUCACAACAUUACUCAUAGUGAUUAAUAUGUAUCUGAUCCUCAGACUUGAGAUCAUCAUUAUCCCAACAUCGUGAGUUGUAUAUUUUGAUACAGUCAAAUGUACAUCGUAACUGAUUGUUCUAUAAAGGCUGAUGUUGGAUAUACCACAAUCUAUGUAGAGGGAUAUGGUUGAUCAAUAUAGAAUAAGUCCCUCCUACAUAAUGGGAGUAAUAUCUUAGGCCACUUGAUUGAGUGAAACUAGAAAUGCAUGGCCAUGCUCAAAUAAGUUUAUAUGAGAUGUCAUACUUAUUUGUAUAUCAUAGUCUACUCAAGAUAUCAAGAAACAUGAGAUGGACUAUGCUAGUGUGAUUAUUCCAUGACUUGUGUUCAUUCCAAAGAUAAAUGACUUAAGGAUUAAUGCAUGAAAGGUAAAUCACAAAAGGUUAUGUCGAAUCAUGACUUCCUGUAACUUAGGUAGCAAUGAUGCAUUACUAGAUGCCACUCAUUGUCUGUAACAUUAGAAUUGUUCUAGUAUUACUGCUAACGUUAUAAGGGCCUACUGGGUCACACCAUAUGAUUGAGAUGAUCGGAAUAAAACAUAGUUGGUAUUGUGUUUGGUUGUCACAUGAAUUAAAUUAAUUAUAGAAUUAAUUUAAUUGGGCAAUCAAAUAUCGAACAUAUUAUAUGUACAAGGAUGUUGUAUACAUAAUGAGAACAUAAUUCUAUUAAUAUAUGAAUUUGGUUCGUAUAUAAAUUUAAAUAAAUAUAGUUUACCGAAAUCUUUGUUAUAAUUAAUGUAAUUAUAAUGUUUGGUUAAAACAUUAUUAUAUUUAUUUAUUUUAAAUUUUUUUGAAUUAGGAUUCGUUAUAAAUAUACCAAUUAAAAAGGGGAGUUAUAUAUAAAUAAAACCCGAAAACCUAGCUUGAGUGGUCUAGCGGCCAUCAAGCAAAGAAAUCUCCAAAACAGUUUUGGGGACUUCUUCCGUUCAUUGUCAAUUGGGUAGAUUACGUAGAGGUCGGCAUAUGAAAAAGUUGCGACUUGGUUCGAUAGUAGUUCUGAAUUCUUGUUGCCGAGGCGUCGCUAUCUACUCAGAUUGAAGUUUUGAUGAUUUCGAAACCAUUAUUAUAAUUUUUUUUCUUGAUUUGUUCUUCACACAUGGAUCCAUGGUUAGGAUUGCCGGAAUUUUAUUUUUCAGCUGCGCCUUGGGGGCACCAGCAUUCCAACAAAUAGGAAUCACACCCUUGCCAUUUCGGUGAAACGAUGGCAGGGGAGGCAGUCCUCAGGCGACGCAUCAACUGACGUGGCCAAGAGCAGCGGCGCAUAGGGGAUCUAGAGUUUUUUUUUUAUUUUUUGAAAAAAAAUUUAGGUUGUGAGUUUGGGCUUGUGUAACAUUGAGUUUCAGUUUGUAAUUUGGGUUAAGGUAAAUUGGGCUGUAUUUAUUUUAUUUUUGUUUUGUCUUUGUUUAAGUUUAUUUAUCUUUAUUGAGCUGGACAAAAUUGAGCUAUUACAAUAUUAAAAAUGGUUAUACACAUAUUAAAAUCUUUAAAAAUAAAAAUUAAUAUACUCGUUGGAUUCAUCCUCGAUGGUUCAGUCAUGUAAAUUUCCUUCUCGCCCACCCUUUCGCAUUUAAAACACUGAAUCAAUGACCUCAAGAAGAAGCAUAAAAUAAGGUGGUCUAAUCCCAUUCUACGGCAAGUUCGUCUUAGCGUCUAAUUCAAUUCUAGCUUCUGUAUUUCAACAAAACUAGAAUGUUGGUCUAACUUUUUUAUUGAUCACCAGUAGUCCCCGCAAGAACAUGAACCAUUCACAAAAUGGUGGAACCUAUUCCGAUCCCUCAUUACAAUUUUACGGCCGGUGAUCUUAGAAAUCAACUUGGUCACAGCAUGGCAAUCCGAACACACCCGGAGGUUUUUUACAAUCUUGAUAGGGGUCCCCGGUUGAGUGCUGAUAAGACCAUAUGCAAGCGCCAGCUUCUCACUGUGAACUUCAAGUGACUGCUCUUUUUGUUCAUCCCCUAUGUCAUGUAGUACAAUCUCUGUUUGUGGGGUGUAACCAUGAGCUUUGAGCCAACCAUUUAUUUCCUCUAACAUCUCAUAUAUUUCUUUGGUUUUUGGAUGUUUCAAAUCCCCAGCAAGGAACUCAUGAACCCUAUUGCGCACUUCAAUUGAGCUACAACCAGGCUCCUUCUGCACCCCACUGUCUUUCAUCAAGGUCCUUAUCCUCGCCACAUCUUCCCAAUCGCCUUUCGCAGCAUACAUGUUGGAAAGAAGAAUAUAAGUCCCUGAAUUAGCAAGAUUGUGGCUGACAAGAUACUCUGCUAUUUUCUCUCCCAAUUCAAGAUUACCAUGUAACCUACAUGCCCCAAGCAAAGCUCCCCACAAGAUGGGAUCGGGCUCUACCUUCAUGUUCUUCACAAGCUCAUAUGCCUCUUCUAAUCGACCAGCACGACCAAGAAGGUUUACCAUGCAUCCAUAAUGUUCGAUCUUGGGUUCGAUCUCAUACUCCUCUCUCAUUGCAUUGAAAAAACUCCAUCCCUCUUUGACCAAACCAGCGUGACUACAUGCACCCAAAACACCAAUGAAAGUAAUAUCAGUAGGGCGCAAACCAAUCCUGCACAUUUCAUGAAACAACUCCAAUGCAUCUUGGCUGAACCCGUGCAAGGCAUACCCUAUAAUCAUCGAAUUCCAUGCAACAACAUCCUUAUAAUGAAUCCUAUCGAACACUAAUCUCGCAUCCUCCAGGCUCCCACAUUUGCUAUACAUGUCAAUCAAAGCAGUAGCAACACGAACACUCACUUGAAUAUCAUUAUUUUGCAUAUAGGAAUGAAGCCAUCUGCCUGACUCUAAAGCUCCAAGCUGACCACAAGCUGAUAAAACAGUCAGUAUAGUGAUUUCAUUAGGCCUAGAUUUCGCUGCCAACAUUCGCCUGAAAAGCACCAAAGCUUCCUUAGGCAUUCCAUGUUGAGUAUACCCAUCGAUCAUCACAUUCCAACAUACCACAUCCUUCUUCACCAUUCCAUCAAACAGCAACCUUGCCUCCUUAAGCUCCCCGUGUUUCGCGUAACAAGUUAGCAUCGUGGUCAAAGAAACUAAACUCUUCUCGGGCAUUCUCUCGAACACGAGACGGGCGGACCCAACGUCACCCCCUCUCGCGUAAACAUCGACUAGACCUGUCUUUACAUACAAAUCUGAAUCAAACCCAAGUUUGAUAACUUGAGAAUGAAGCAUUUUUCCAUGUUCAAGAGAACAAGAUUUCAAUAUGGAAGAGAAAGUGAACUCGUUAGGCUGCACACCUUCAAAUAACAUUUGCGUAUAGAUAAAUAAAGCUUCUUGGGAGAGACCAUGGAGGGCGUGGGCGUUAAUGAUAGAAGUGUAGAAAAAGAUGUUGGGGUUGAGAGUUCGAUUGAAGAGAGCAAGUGAAUAGUCGAGACGGCCUCGAGAAGAGUAAGAGCGUUGAAGCUUGAAAUUUAGGAUGGGGUGUUGAUGAAGGCCGUGGCGGAGAAGAGCUGCGUGGAUUUGGAGCAAGUGAUGGAUGGAGCUGGAUUUAUCUAAAAGAAGAGCUAGCUUGUCUGGUGAUGGUGGAAAGUUGGUGACGGCGGCGAAUGAGAGAGUGCUACGGUUUAUGGAGGGUGCUGGCGGUGGAGGAGAAGUGAAAAGCAGGGCUGAGGACAUGCUUGAAUGAAGCAAAGUCUCAACAAUUCAGGCACUCACAAGCUUUUGAUAAGCAUUUUGAUUUACAGAGUAUACUCAUAGAUUUGCUUGCUUUGUACUUUUACCUUAUCCAACAUAGAUUUUAAACAAACUUGAGUCGAGUGGAACAGAAGUACCUAACAAGUUCAGAUUAUGUUUGCAUCUAAUUUUAUAUUUUAAUUUGAAAUUUUAAUCUUACGAUUUCAAAUUAUCGAAUACAUAACAUUUGAUUAUUUGAAGACUGAACGGAUAACAAGCAAAAGAUAAUUAUUUGGAUCCUUUUUUUUUUUAAUUUUUUAAUUUUAUAAACACAAUUUAAGAAUAUAUGACCAAAUCAUAAUCCAUACCAAAUAAUUGGUAGUUGUACAACUCAGACUCCAGAUCUUUGAGUCCCCAUAUUUGAGACUACAUUAUCAACAUCACAUAAGGUGGCCCAAAGAAGAAGACCACAAAGUUAAGAAGGCCCACGCUGGAAUGUUGGAGAGAAAUCCCCUAUUUCAAUGCUCAACAAAGAAUCUCGUGCACCCUAAGCUUCCAACACGAAAUUGACACCUACCACCUAUUAAGCCCUUAAUAAGAGCGUAACAUUUGGCUCUCUAGUUGUCACCAAUCAUCUUAUAAAUGGCAAGCACCUUCACCAUUUAUAACCAUCUCGUAAGUCCCCAAAUCAUAUGGUUUAUCUCUUUUCUUUCUUCAAUAUGUUUAACUUGAGCAUCAAGGUGUGAGAUGAAAGUUUUACAAUUCCCUUCUUGCAAGUUCAAGAAAGCAAUCUGAAGAGUUCGUAAGCCCUUAUAAUUGCUAGCAAAUUAUGGGAAAAGCCUUCAAUUGCACCAAUAUCUCACAGGAAACAUUAGCCAUGAGUCCUUCGCAUCGUAGGAGUCUCAGAUGUCUACAAGCUAUUUGGAAAUUCAAGAAUUGUUGGAAAAAUCUGGUUAAAAAAACAAUUUAUAUUUAUAGUGAAAGUUUAAAAAUUUUCAAAAUCGACUUGAUUUGUGAUUUUUAUAGUAAUAAACUUUUAUUAAAAAAUAAUUGUGUUUUGUGCAAGAUGGAUUCAAGUCGAUCCUGACUUUCAACUGAUGACAUUCUCUACUAUUCUUGUACUACAAAAUCCGUCGAGUGUGGGCUCAAGUAAUACGAACCAAACACAGAAUAUGAAAAAAUCAAACACAGAAUAUGAAACUUACUUUCAAUAUGAAAGUAAUUCUCUCAAUAAAAAAUCAAUAAAUAUCGUAAUUUCCAAAAAUUAAAAUUUAUUCUAAGUAAAUAAAUUACUAUUAUUAUAACACCUUAUACCUCACCCGAUCGAAGAAUCCGGAUACAAAGUAUCAUAUCUUACUAAUUGGACUAUGAAAACAACUAAGCAUUUAAAAUCAUACUUAUUUUCAAAAAUUGUCAAAAACAUUUUUACCAAAUUUUUAAGUAACUAGGCUUUUUUAAAUACUUUUUUAUUUUUAAAAUUUUUUAAUGAUUUAUUUAAUUAAACUAUAUGGAUCAAUUGAACUAGUAGAAUUAAUAGCCUGAUUGGUUCGAUUAUCGAUCUAAUUCUAAAAAUCUUGGUCAGAAUAUUUUAUAUUAAUAUACUAAUAUUUGCAAUUAUUGGAUAACGAAAUUUUAGUUGAUAGUUUCUAACUGUACCAAAAAUACCUUAUAUCAUACAAUAGUUAGCAUACAAUUUUCAACUUAAUAAAUCCAAACUACCUUAUAUCAUACUUAGCAUACAAUUUUCAACUUAAUAAAUCCAAACUACUGGACUAUACUUAGAAAAUUAGAGAUAAAAAAUUUACAAAAAUAAUUUAUUGAAAAAAAUGAAAGGGUCCCGCAAUUAUUGUUUUAUUUGCAUAGGAUUGAGAAUAUUUUAUUCAACACGAAAAUGAUCCUAAUAAUUUGAUGACUAUUCUCAUUAUCUAAAUAUUGGUCUAAUGUCAUGUGUUCAUUAUGCUUUUAAGGAUUUAAAUAACUUUUUUUUAUAAUCUCUAAUUUUUCUAAUUUUUAAUAAUAUUAUAAUUUAUUAGCUUUUUUAUUAUUUAUAAGUUUUUAUAAUAUUUCAAUAUUUUAAAUAUGCUUUAUUAAUUUUAUAAUUUUUUAUAAUUUUUAUAAAUUUUUAGGUAAACUAUCAAAAUAGUCACUUUUGUUUACCUCAUGUUAUAUUUAGUCACUUUUGUUUACUUUAGGUUAUAUUUAGUCACUUAUGUUUGAAAUGUUAUGUUUUAGUCACUUAUAUUAUUGCGUUGUAACAUUUUAGUCACUGAGCCGUUAAUUUUCGUUAACGAUGUAACAGUAAGCUGACGUGGCAUGUUAAAUUAUCAUUUCAAAUAAAAAUUUUAGGUUAACUUAUGCAAUCGGUCCCCAUAUUUUUUUCGUUUUGAGCAAUUUAAUUUUUUUCUUUUAUUUUUUUAACUUUCUUUUUUUUUUCCAUUCUCUUCUGCUUCUUCCUCUGUUUUUCUCCCUUUUCCAUUUCUUUUAACGUAGUUUUUCUAUAUUUUCUAUUUAUUAAAACUAGUCCUUAUAUUUUUAUUUUUUUAACAAUUUAAUUUUUUCGAGUAAGGUAAGCUUGUGAACUAGUUUUAACAAAUGAAAAAUAUAGAAAAACUACGUUAAAAUAAAUGAAAAAAUGAGGGAAACAGAAGGAGAAGCAGAAGAGAAUGGGAAAUUAAAAAGAAAAAAAGAAAAGUUAAAAGAACAUAAAAGAAAAAAAACUAAAUUGCUCAAAAUGAGAAAAUAUAAGAAUCAAUUGUAGAAUUUCACCUAAAAUUUUCAUUUAAAAUGAUGAUUUAACCUGCUACCUUAGCUUACUGUUACUCUGUUAAUGGCUUAGUAACUAAAAUGUUAUAACAUGAUAACGUAAGUGACUAAAAUGUAACCUAAGGCAAACAAAAGUGACUAUUUUGAUAGUUUACUCUAAUUUUUUUAUAAUUUUUAUGAUUUUUAAUAUUUUUUAUGAACAAAUAUAAGAUUAAAUUAUAAAUUAACACGUGUAACUAUUUUAUUGGCCUGUCAAUUAAUUUUAAUGGUAACAUAGUCAAAUAUAAAAGCUAAAGCUCAAUUGGUUGUAAAUUUAGUGGAUUUAAAAAAAUUAUAUUUAAAUCGAAAAAGCUCAUAGAGUAAGCACAGUCAUGACAUGAAAUCGAGUUGAAUUUAACGUAAAAGAAAUUUGUUAAAAUAUGCUCAAAGUUGUUAUAUUCUUCGUAUAUUUAUGAUUUAGUCCUCAUAUUUUUAUUUUUAAAAUUUUAGUUUCUCUAUUUUUAAGAUUUAAAAUUAUAAGUUCAAUUAUUAAUAUUAUUAAUUCUUAUGUUAAAUUUAAAUUCAUUACAAAUUUUUUAAAUGAUUACAAGUGAGUAAAUUUUUUAUUUUAAGAUAUUACAUUAAUGAAUUUAAUAGAAUAAUUUUGACGUAUUUCAUGAUAAAUAGAUUAAAACUCAAAUGUAAGAUUGGAUUUAAAAUUGAACCUUUCUACUUUAAAGAAAUUUGAUAAUUUUUAUGCUGAAGUUUAAAUUCAAUCAUUUUUGUUUGAGGUUAAAAUCAAGUUGGAAUUAAUUUUAUAAUAUUGAAUAACAACAAAGUAAAAUAAAAAAAUAAUUGAUUAAAUUUAUAAAUGAUUGGUCAGCAUAUUAAAUUCAAUUCUAUAAAUAAUUUAACUCGAUAAUAAUAAUGAAGUUAAAUUUAACUUUUCAAACUAAACUAAAGUAAAUUGCGAAGCAAAUGCUUGAUUUGCUAGCCAUUGCAUCUAUGUAGGUGGCAAAUUGUCAAAAAUAACAUAAAACUUUCACGUUAUUUUAGAAUAAUAAAUCAAUUUUUUUCUAAAUUUUUAACUUUUUUUGAAAAAAUUUAAAUUUAAUUAAAAUAUUAAAAAUUAAAAGUAAAAUUCUAAUUUAUUAUUCUCCUAUUAAAAAAUAUAAAAAAUAUAUGGAAUCGUAGUUUUAUACCCUCUUCCAUUCUCUAUAUGGUAUAUGGUAAAAAAAAAAAAAAAGCGAAGGCACUAAAGCCGAAAAAGAAAAGGCCACGAACAAUGGUGGGAAAAGCCAAAAGCACCAUCCACUAGACGCUGCCUACACCCCAACAUGCAACCGGAAGAAAAUAAGGUUCCGUUACUAUCCGAUCAAGACUCGGACGAGGAUGUAGCCUACGACUCCGGUUAAAAGGUCCACAUCGUUGGAAUCAACGAACCGGACGAUGAAGCUUCACUGGGUGUCGUCCCACCUUUUUCCUGGAAAAAGCUUUGGCUUUUCGCCGGAGCCGGUUUUUUAAUCUCAAUAGCGUUUUUGGACCCUGGGAAUUUAGAAGGCGAUCUCCAAACCGGAGCUAUAGCCUGUUACUCUUUACUGUGGCUGUUGAUGUGGGCUACGGCUAUGGGGUUGUUGGUUCAGUUGUUGGCUGCAAGGCUUGGUGUGGCGACAGGGAAACACUUGGCUGAGCUUUGUAGCGAAGAGUACCCGACUUGGGCUAGGAGGGUUUUGUGGGUGAUGGCGGAGCUGAUAUACAGGAAGUCAUUGAAAGUGCUAUUGCUAUUAAGAUUUUGAGUAAUGGUGCUUUGCCUUUGUGGGCUGGAGUUCUUAUUACAGCUAGUGAUUGGUUAGUGUUCUUGUUGAUAUUUUGAGUUAUUAUUAUUGUAGUUAGAAGUAUUUGUGUGCAUUAAAGGUUGCUUCUUUAUGAUAUAUGAUGUCUGAAUUUUCAAGGUUUUCGGUUUAUUUUCUAUGCUCACCUGGUUCUUCGUUUUCUUUGCCUUGGUACAGUUUUAUCUUCUUGUUUCUUGAAAACUAUGGAGUGAGGAAGCUGGAAGCAUUUUUUGCUGUCCUUAUUGCAACAAUGGCCGUCUCAUUUGCUUGGAUGUUCGGUGAAACAAAACCAAGUGGCACCGAGCUUCUUCACGGUGACAAACUCGGCUCCAUUGUAGCAAAUUCCAUGCUUCAUAUAUCUCAAUAAAUUUCAUUUAGUAUUGCAGUUCAUUGAUGCUCAAAUGGUUUCAUAUUUUCACAUGUGUUUUGGUUCCAAAACUCAGCUCCAAAACCAUCAAGCAGGCUGUGGGAGUUGUGGGCUGUAUUAUUAUGCCUCACAAUGUAUUCUUGCACUCUGCUUUAGUGCAAGUAACAAGAAAGGCCAGGUGCAAGAAGCUCUCAAUUAUUACUCGAUCGAGUCGACUGCUGCACUUAUAAUUUAAUUUAUAAUCAACCUGUUUGUUACCACUGUCUUUGCUAAAGCAUUUUGCAGGCCAGUAUCUUGAAGAAAAAUAUGGAGGCGGGUUACUCCCCAUUUUGUAUAUUUGGGCUAUUGGGUUGUUAGCAGCUGGACAAAGUAGCACUAUUACAGGCACUUAUGCAGGGCAGUUUAUCAUGGGAGGCUUCUUGAAGCUGAAGUUGAAAAAAUGGGUAAGAGCUUUGAUCACAAGGAGUUGUGCAAUUAUUCCUACUAUUAUAGUUGCUCUUGUUUUCGAUUCGUCUGAAGCAGCCCUCGAUACAUUGAACAAAUGGCUUAAUGUGCUUCAGUCAAUUCAGAUCCCUUUUGCUCUUAUCCCACUUCUUUGUCUAGUAUCCAAGGAACAAAUCAUGGGUGCCUUCAGAAUUGGCCAUGUACUCAAGGUAUGCUGCUAAUCGCCUUGUGUUGCGACUUGUUAAUACAUUAACCCGUCUCUACUGCCACUGACUGUGGCAUGAGCUAUAUAAAAUGCGAAAUUGGUUCAUUGAAAACGAUGUAGCGACCCUGAUAGCAGUUAGAACUUCUUACAUUCCAUCUUUUAGCAGGGGACAAUGUACAACUUUUGUUGUCUAAAAGCUACCUCUUGAGAGUUCGAGUUUCAGUACAUUUUCCAUUCAUAGACACUGUUAUACUGGAAUUCCUUGACGCCAUUGAUAUAACCUAGCUCUUUUUCUACACCCAGUCAUGAACUAAAUGCUUGUACCGUUCCAUCACGCAAACUAUCGACUCAUGCUAUUUGAUAAGUUCCACUUAUUUGGUGAUCAACAUCUUCAUACAUGCUUCAGUUCAUCAAUAUUUUCCCUAUUAAGCAUAGGAAAGGAAAUGUCAGUGAGUGAUGAUUGCCUUAUCAACACUAAAAUAAUGUGGUUACUGCAUGUAGAUCCUGUCAAAGAAGAAUUCGCCUUGUUUACGUUUUCCCCUCUCUUCUGCAGACAGUGGCAUGGAUUGUGGCAGCGCUGGUGAUCGUGAUCACCGGGUUUCUUUUACUCAAUUUCUUCUCCUCCGAAGUGAGUGGCCUAAUGUUCACAAGUAGUGUCUGCCUUUACAGGCGCAUAUCUUGCAUUUUUAGUUUACCUUGUUUCUCGAGGCUUUUCGACGUUUGAUACUCCCUAAACCGGCAUAUCGAAUCAAAGAAGUCGAUCUUAGACACCCUUGUCAAGGCAUGAUAUCAGAAAGCUCGAAACACCUUACACCUACUACCAAAUGCCAAUAUUGAUGAAAGCCUCCUAGUGGGAUUACUGUUUGAAACAACAGUGUUGUAAACAAUAUAUUUAUCAUAUCUUGCUGGAUAUAGAGGAUUGGAGUGAGUGAGACUCUAAACAAAAACAUUCUUUUCAAACAUUUCAAGGAACCAAACACUGUAGUUUUGAAAAUCUACCUUAAACUUUGUCCAAGCUGGAUAAUACGUGAACCAGCUUUUCAACAAAACAUGUAUUUCAAUUUACUGAUGCAUUUGGUUUUAUUUUAUUUUAUUUUAUUAUUAUUAUAGAAAUUUCUACUAAUAUUAGGAUUGCUUUUAACAAAUUGCUUUUUUUUUCUUCAUAUUCUUUGAUUCUAAAAUAUCUAUUUAUAUUGUGACCGCUUUCAAAAGAUUGAAACACCAACAUUUCGUAUUGCUUGUACUUGAAUAAUCUAUUCUAAAUAAAAUAUAUAUUACUCAGAAAGUAAAAUGUUAAAAUUUUGAAUUUUUUCAUAGUUUUUACAAAUGGUUUAAUAAUGAUUAAAAUUUUUUCAUUAGCAUUUUAUUUGAAUUAUUAAAAUAAUUUCUAUGUUAAUUAUUAUUUUGUAUAAUGAUGUUUUGUAUUGAUUACAUCUUGUAUAUUGAAUACGGUAAAAUUGAUUUAAUUAAAAUUUAAAUAUUUUUAAAAUUUUUUAAUAUUUAAAGUAUUAAAUAAGUUAAAAUAUUUUAAGUAUAAUGAUUUUUUUGAUCCUUCAAUUUUUAAAAAAUAAAUAUUUAACCCCAAAUAAUUUUUCGCCUCUUUUAACUUUUAAAUUUAUAUUUCUUGUCAAAUUAUCUAAAAUAAAUAAAAAGUUAACAUUGCGACGUGUCAUUCACAUGGUAAUCUAUAUGUAUGUCACGUAAAUAAAGUUAAAAAACAUUUAGCUUUUUCUUCUAUUUUAAGGAAAUUUAAUAAAAAAGACAAAAAAUUAAAUAAAUUGUUAAAAUAAAUUUUUUUAUAAAAUUAGAGAGUCAAGUCAUUAUGCCUAUAUUUUAAUAGAUUUCAUUUAGAUGGAUGAUCAGAUUGAUUCCAAUAAAGCUAAAAUCAGCCGCGAUGAUAAGAUUAAUAACUAUAGCAAUUAGAUUAAAAUUAGUGAUGAAUAAAAUGCGUAAAAUUUAUAUAUACGGGUAUUUUUAAUGAAUUUUUUUUAUUUUAUCCGAUAAAAAUGAUGUAAGGAUAUUUAGUUAUUUAUUACAUGAAGUAGGAUUACUACUUUUGGCCAAUCAUAAAAGUAUAAAAGAAAAUAAAUUCUAAAAUUCCAGUCAAAAUACCCAUAAAGAAAUUCCAAAACGACGAGAAUCUGCCAAUCUCCAACUAAGCAACGCCAGCAAAACGAUUAAAUAAAUUAAAAAAAGUAACUAAUUCCCAAAAAUUAAAAAAAAAAAAAAGAGCUUGAAAAAGGAAAAAGAAUGGCCUAAAGACCCAGCAACAGGAUAGCGAAAUCUGGGACUUAAUUAUUUUUUCUUUUUGGAAAGAUUAGUGAUAUCAAUAAACAAGAAGGAAAAAAAAACCCAAAAUUCAAAGCUGCAUUAAGGUAUUUUUUCUUUGGCUUUGGAAAUCUCUCUUUAUAUUGUUGAGUUCAAUUAUCUUUUUGGUUUUUGUAUAUGCAUUUGUGUUGUUGUUUACUUAUUUGGAGUUGGGUAUUUUUUUGAAAUAAUAGGUAAACCCAUUUGAUCUAAUUAGUUCCUUUAUGAUCAUAUUGUUUCAUGGUAUGAUUUUGAAAGGCUAAGUGGGUGUUUUGGAUAAAUUAUAUUUGAAGGACCACUGAUGGGGUUUUAGGGUUAAUUUUUAUUCAUUUAUUUAUCUGCCUUGCUGCUGGGGAAGUGCGAAAAACAGCUUAUGUUUGUUCAAUGAACCAAUUUAAUUUUUUAAUGAGUAUGACACUGAUAUGCAGGAGUGCCAAAAUCAGUAAGUUCUAAAACGAUUUGAUUAGGUUGUGACUUUACUAUUCUGUUAUUGGGAAGUUGGAAAGCAAGUAAAUUAUAAACUAAGAAAUAUAAAUGAUAUUAGAAACCAUUUCUGAUAGGUUUUGGAAGUAAUGGUUUAGGUAAAUUUGUAGCUUCAUUACAGCGCGCUUGUUUUCAUCUAGUAGCAUGUGGAACUUGACCAUGGUUCCCACGACAUUUUAUGUUUGUUUUUGUAAUUCUUGUUGAGACCUUUAUGUCCUUGAUUUGAAGCAUCAACUGAUUGAUUUGUAUAGGAUGGCUCUUUAUCCCAGUAUUCUUAUCCGGUUAUUUUGUUCUAAUAGUGUCUUUUUUCUAUUCUAAAAGGUGUGUCUGAUGUGCAGUAGGCGAAAUAUAUCCAAAUAACUAAUUGUUGAUUUCCUAGAAAUUAGGGCAGUAGUGAAGAGGGACUGCAGGUAGUACAGAAGCUUACAAAGUAUUGGAGUUAAGGCAAAUUCAUUUUAUCUAAUCUUUAGAGAAGGGUUUGGCUUGUUUUUAGUCAAGUAACUCUCUUUGGUAGUGGGUGAGUGGGGAUUGUGUUAUGUUUAAUGUGGAGAGGUCGCUGCUCUUGAUUAUUUCUUUUAGGUUUGCGUUUGUUACAUUUCAUGGAUGCUAGGAAAAUUAUCAGCAUAAUGAACUUUUUAAGGAAACUUUGCUGUAAUUGCUGUGAGUGUUUUGGAGGUAAAUAUUAUAUUUGAUGGUUUAAAUAUUUUUUUUUUUAUUUUGUUCGUGCUCUUAAUAUUUUAAGUUUCAAUCAAGCUUGAUCUAAAAUUUUGAUUCUACAGUGGGAUUACUAGUUGGCAAAAGUGAGAUUUCAAGAACCUGUCUGGUUCUUGUUAUCAAGAUAGUGUGCUACAUGGGCUAUGGUGCUGAUGUUCAAAAGGGUUUUCUUGAGUUUUAUGGAAUAAUAUGGUUUCCAAAGUAUUCGUCAUCCAUUAUUGAGAAAGGAUUUUGCUGUUAGAAUUUAUGAAACACGGUAUGUACUAUGUCCUUGUUGUAUGUGUCUUUCAGGCUUCACUUUUUUCGCCCUCCAAACUUCUGCAAAUGAGUUCAUGCAUUUUGUCCUGUAUCAGUUCGGUUAUGAAAAAACUGUUAUGUUGGCAGCAUAAGCUCUAGUUCAUUGAUAUUUUGCUUUAGGUUAAAUUGAAUUCCGAGAAAGGAAUUAUGUUGUUAAACUAAAGUAAUUAGGCCCAAAGUUUUCUCCCUGUUGUUUCACGACAAAGAUACUUGCAUCUUUUGUUUGCUUAUUAUUAUUCUUAAAGUUUUUCUCCUUCUACUCUUUCUUACGCGCGAUCUUUCUGACUUUUUUUGUUACCCAGAUCAUAUGGAGAUUUCUUUGUUAAAAGCACUUCUGGGUAACAUUUCCUCAUUUUUAAAUUUGUCAUCUUUUGAGAACAUUAACUCAGAACCAGUUCAGAAGUUUUACCAGAGAGCAGAAGAGAUACUACAGUUGUUGAAGCCAAUUCUUAGCGCAAUCAUUGAUUCAGAAAUUACUUCUGAUGAAGUGCUUAGUAAGGCAUUUGAAGGAUUGAGUCUCUCUAUAGAAGAAUUGAGAGAGCAAUUCGAGAGCUGGCAACCCCUUUUGAGUAAAGUUUACUUUGUAAGUUACUAGUUACUUGAGUUCACAUCUUCACUUAGCAAUUUUAGUCCACUUAUGACUGGAAAAGAAGUACCUAAGUUAAACAUCUAGGCAUUGGCAUUCACCUGAUAUUGUGAAGCUUUGAUCAAUUACCCGUCUGAACAUUAAUAUUUUCACAUGAGAUGCAUGUUGUAGAUUAUUGCUGUCAUUUUACAGUUAAUUCUUGUGGAUGUUUUCUGCCACUAUGGUCUAUGAACACAUUUUCUUCUAAUUUCUUAUGGUUAUUAGAACAUCAUCAUGUUUGUCCUAAGAGAUUGUUGGAAUAUAUGGCUUUUGGAAUAAGUUUAGCCCCUAAGUGCUGAUUCUUGAAUGUUCGCUCAUAUUUAGGUAGAAAGUUGCUAUAUAUGGGUGCCCUUUUAGGAAAUAAUGUUAUAGAAGAAUAUAAUUUUCUUUUAAGGUACUAUCAGUCAAUUAGUGUUGUCCUUUAGUUAAAUGCACUUGGAUAACUAUCUUCUCUUUCACUUGACCUUUAGGUUCUGCAAGUUGAGUCAUUAAUAUCGAAGAUUCGGAAUUUUAGCCUUGAUGUAUUCCAGUUCUUGAAGUCUUCCCAUCAGCAUCUGCCUGAUGAAUUGAAUUCAGCAUCUCUUGAGGUAAUUUAAAACCCAAGUUAAUUGAAGCUUUUACUUUUAUUUGAAGAUUGUACUCUUCAUCUUGUAUUUAAGUUUUAUAAAUACAGCAUAAUUAUUGUAUUCUCACAAUGAUUACCAAAAAACUGUCAUGUAUUGGAGCGUGAAUGGCAUCUAAGUAUACAGUUGUGAGAUGUGAAAAAAUAUGCAGCUUUCAUUUUGAUUUAAUUUCUGAGUUCAAAGAAUGCUAAAGGGGAUUCCACAUUUCAGGAUGUUUAACUAUUGGCAAUUGAUUGCAGCACUGCUUGCAGAAAAUUAAGCUUGUAGCAUAUGAGCAAGCAUCAUCUGUCAUCAGGGAAGCCAUACGGGAUCAAGUGGAUAGUGUUGGACCAUCCUUGGACAUAAUAGUGAAAAUUGCAGAGAACUUGAGUUUGAGGUCAAACCAGGAGAUUCUGAUAGAGGCCGUGGCCCUUGAAAAGUUGAAGGAGAAUGCUGAACAAGCUGAAAAAACUGCAGAAGCUGAGUUUAUUGAUCAAAUUAUUGCUCUUGUAAAUCGCAUGCAUGAUCGUCUUGUAUUAAUGAAACAAUCUGAGACCUGUAGCCCAGUUCCAAUACCUGCUGAUUUCUGCUGCCCCCUUUCCCUAGAGCUAAUGACUGAUCCAGUGAUUGUGGCAUCUGGCCAAACCUAUGAGCGGGCUUUCAUCAAGAACUGGAUUAGUCUUGGGUUCACUGUGUGCCCCAAGACACGGCAAACUUUGGCUCAUACCACUCUUAUACCUAAUUACACAGUAAAGGCACUAAUUGCAAAUUGGUGCGAGUCAAACAAUGUGAAGUUGCCUAAUCCCACGAAGUCCAUCAAUUUAGACCAAUCCCACCCCCUUCUUGUGCACGCAGAGUCUGGCUUGCCAAGGGAUUCAAAUAGUUUUCCUCCCCCUAGAAUCAGCCAACCAUUGUCACCUGAGUCACGGUCUAGAGGUCAAGCUGGUAAGAACCUAGUCACAUCCAGUGGACUUCAUCACAAGGGAACCUCCCCACUACAUCCUCGUUCUACCUCAGAAAGUUCCUUGCCAGCUAUAGCUGGAAAUGGAGGGGGUUUGGAUGUUGCAAGAAUAUCACUAAAGAGUGUGGAAGACAGGUCAAAGUUGGAACGAAGGUAUAGCGAUUCUGUUGGUGAACCCCCUGUGUCACCUUCUAACAAUAUUGGUCAGUCAUCUCAGAACCGCACAAGAUCUGUCUCAGCCUCUAGUGCACUUCCUAAUCCAGAUUCUCCUCUAGGAGCUGUUGGAGAUGCCAAUGAGACUUCUGAUGGUUCAACUCAUCUCGCAGCCUACAAUAGUGAUGCUUCUGGAGAGGUGAAAUCUGAUGCACAGCCUACAGUUAGCUCAGCCAUUCCACAAAGAGAACCUCAGUUUCCUCCUCGGUUGAUGGAUACACGAUCUCGAAGCCAAACAAUCUGGCGCCGGCCAUCGGAAAAAUUCAUUCCAAGAAUAGUUUCUUCUCCUGGUGUUGAGAACAGGGCUGACCUUUCUGGCAUUGAAGCCCAGGUGAAGAAGUUAGUGGAGGACUUGAAGUGCACUUCAGUUGAUACUCAAAGAGAGGCCACAGCUCAACUCAGGUUACUUGCUAAGCACAAUAUGGAUAAUCGGAUUAUAAUAGCGAACUGUGGGGCCAUUGUCUUGUUAGUUGAUUUGCUUCAUUCACCGGAUACGAAGACUCAAGAAAAUGCUGUUACAGCACUUCUUAACUUGUCAAUUAAUGAUAACAACAAAACAGCAAUCGCUGAUGCCGAUGCAAUUGAGCCUCUGAUUCAUGUCCUUGAGACAGGAAGCCCUGAAGCUAAAGAAAACUCAGCUGCCACUCUCUUCAGCCUUUCAGUCAUUGAGGAUAACAAAGUCAAGAUUGGAAGGUCUGGGGCAAUCAAGCCUCUUGUUGAUUUAUUGGGGAAUGGUACUCCUAGGGGAAAGAAAGAUGCAGCUACCGCUUUGUUUAAUCUGUCAAUAUUUCAUGAAAACAAGGCUCGAAUUGUGCAAGCCGGUGCUGUAAGACACCUUGUGGACUUGAUGGACCCAGCAGCUGGAAUGGUUGAUAAGGCAGUUGCUGUUUUGGCUAAUCUUGCUACAAUUCCUGAAGGGAGGAAUGCUAUUGGGCAGGAGGGUGGGAUUCCUGUGCUGGUCGAGGUUGUUGAGUUGGGCUCAGCGAGAGGAAAGGAAAAUUCUGCUGCUGCCCUUUUACAACUCUGCACAACCAGUGGUAGAUUUUGCAAUAUGGUUCUCCAAGAAGGAGCUGUUCCACCACUAGUGGCAUUGUCCCAGACCGGCACCCCAAGAGGUAAAGAGAAGGUAAUAGUUAUGCUGUUCUUUUUUCUUUUAUUUCUCACUAAACCUUUCUUCUUUACCGUUAUUUAAGCAUGAGUUGAUCACAGGCACAGGCACUUCUGAGCUACUUCAGGAACCAACGACAUGGUAGUGCUGGAAGAGGCUGAAAGUAGGCAUUGGGUCUAAAUACAGUUUGUAUACAUUUGAUGCUUCAAAUAAUGCAUUUUGAAGGUUUGCUGCUUGGGCUUACAUUUUAUACAGGGUUUUGUUGUAGAGAAAAAGAGAUUUUAUUUGUAGAGUCCUCUUGUGAAGUGCUUCUGAUACGUGGCAAUUGUGAAAUGUAAGAAGUUUCCUACAUGUGAGUCCGUCUGGUGUUUGCAGCCGGGGGAGAAGACGAUAGGAACCAAUGAAUAACGUCUGUCCUGGUUUAUCCCAUGUGCCUAAUUAUUUUUCGCUCGAAACUGUUCUUUCAGAUUAAACUAAAUAAUCAGAUUGAUUUGUAAGAUAUGCAUUUGCUGCCAUUUUAAGCUUUUCUGUACUUUCAUUGGAACAUUGUCUAACCAAACAACUCCUUUUUUCCCUGUAAUGGUUCAUAAGCUAUAUAUGAUCGUUUCAGUUUUGUUACUUUGACAAUGUUUAACCUGCACAAACGAUCUUGAGAUUCAUUAGCAUUGGUAUUAGUAAAAUAAAUUGUGAUUUUAUUAUAUAAUCGAAAAAGUUAAAGACAGAAAAUGGGUAAAUGAAGGGGAAAAAACAAGAAUAGUGGAAAUUACAGAGGAAAAAAAAAAACUAGAGUUUCCGCCUCUCAGUACACCAGCCAAAGAAUUACAACGCAAAAUGUGGAAUGUGAUCAAAACCAAUCUAGAAGCUCAAAGCAAUGGCUGCCCAUCCCAACGCCAACCCUCCAAUUAUCUUCUUCAUGUUCUUCAUUGCCUCUGCUCCACUCUGCAUUUGUUUACAAUAACUCUUUAAAUUUUACAGAUAAAUAUAGUUUUAAGAUGAAAAAAAAGAUCCGUUGGUCUGUCCUUUUUCAGAAAAUUAAAUGAACUAGCUCAACGGUGCAUCCUUUAGACGCGAUUAAACGAAAAACAAGAUCUCUCUACAUUUAUGCAGUGUAAAAGUUCAGAUCUGAAAGCGCAUUGUUAUAUGAUGUAAGCUACUGAAACGUUAGUAAAGAGAAGAGAAUGUACCUCGUCGGCAGCGACAGAUGGACCGGGAGAGGAAGCAUCGAGGCUCGGUCCAGGAGCUCCAGUUGGUGGAGCGGGAGGUCCAAGCAUAUCAGGUGAAGGAGCCGGAGCAUGGUGUUUCUUGGAUUUCUUGCUUUUGCUCUUGCUUGGAGCUGGGGCCGGAACCUCAGCAGUAGUUGGUGCCGCAACAGGAGCCGGAGGAGAGGCCGAGCUCUCUGGUGGAGUCGUCGGUGCAGCAACGGGAGGCGAUCUGGCUGGAGGAGAGCUCACAGGUACUGGAGCCGGUGGAGAACUCACCGGAGCAGCAGCCGGAGGAGAAGACGGAGCAGAUUUAGAUGGGGCUGGAACCGCCGCAGACUUCUCCGGAGCCGCAACCGGUGGUGAAGAAGUUGGUGGGGAAGUGGUAGGGGCAGCAGUUGGAGCCGGUGAUUUAGGUUUGCUAACAGGGGCAGUAGCGGGAGCAGUAGCAGGAGUAGUCGCGGCCGGCGGAGCUUUAGUAGGUGAGGCUGCCGGAGAUUGACCACCAACAGCGGUCACCACAAAACAAAUCAAAACAACUGCAAAUGCACUUCUACGAUCCAUUUCUUGAAGACAGAGGGAGAGUGAAGUAGUAACAGAAACUAAUGACAAGGAGACAACAGACUCUCA